RNAcentral lists this long non-coding RNA (51717 nucleotides) under Gossypium barbadense (sea-island cotton). RNAcentral's name for it is "long non-coding RNA (GBAR_LNC000076)". Lineage: Eukaryota; Viridiplantae; Streptophyta; Magnoliopsida; Malvales; Malvaceae. The record is from RNAcentral.
UUUGUUGGCCUUUUUCAUUAGGUACUUUCGGAUUCCGAAUCUGUUCGGUGGCUAAACCAUGCUGUUGAAAAAAUAUGGCCUAUUUGUAUGGAACAGAUUGCAUCACAGAAGAUUCUGCUUCCCAUCAUACCUUGGUUCUUGGCUAAGUACAAACCUUGGACUGCUGUAUGAAUUUUGCUUCUCUUAGUACUAUUUUAUUGGCUAUCUCUGGAAAACUAGUACAUAAAGAUUCUGAUUUAGUAAAAUGUUCAAUUUAGUGCAAAUGAACAAUUUGUACUUUUUUAAGACUUGCAUUCGCUCCUAUGAAGUUACUUUCAAUGACCAUCAGAUGAUUAUUUUUUGAUCCAUUUUGGGUGUGUUUGACUGAAAUGUUGCUAUGCCUGCAGAAGAAAGCUGUGGUUCAGCAUUUAUAUUUGGGAAGAAAUCCACCUUUGAUCACGGAGGUGAGAGUUCUUCGUGAAUGCUCUGAUGAUGACCACUUGGUAUACCUUCUCCCUAACUCCUCUCUGUUGGCUAUGAUUUCUUGUUUCAAUUUUGAGGAUGAUAGAACUUUCAAUUUCUCGUUGCAGGUACUGGAGUUGGGAAUGAAUUUUCUCACCGCGGAUGACAUGAGUGCAAUACUUGCUGUGAAACUACGGAAAAGACUGGGAUUUGGGAUGUGGGCGAAGUUGCAUGUAACAGGCAUGCAUGUUGAAGGAAAGGUAUUAAUAAAAAUGGAAUGGUAUUAGCUAUAUUCAAUUUUCACAUUAAAAGAGUUUAUAGUCUUUCCUAAGCAGUUGUUAAUCGGAGGAAUUUGCAUGGCAUCACAUAGUUUGGGCCCCAUCCUGCCUCCUGCAAAUACUUAACUUUAUUGACUUACUGUAAUUAACUGGCAUUUACUCCAUGUUUCAGGUUUUGGUUGGGGUGAAGUUUAUCCGGAAGUGGCCUUUCAUUGGUCGUUUGCGAGUAUGCUUUGCUGAGCCUCCAUAUUUCCAGAUGACUGUGAAACCUGUCUUUACACACGGACUUGAUGUUACGGAACUUCCAGGAAUUGCUGGAUGGCUUGUAAUAACUCUUUUUCCUGAAAAUCUUUGACUAUAUUUUAUUAUCUUUUACUUCCUCUCAAUCUUAUUGUGUAUCCUCUUUUGCUCGCGUAGGACAAGCUUCUUUCGAUAGCAUUUGAGCAGACACUUGUUGAGGUUAGUUUUCCUUAACUCUGUUGCCAUACAAUGGCAUAAAUUCCAUCUUAUAUUCCACAAAUGCAUAUCGUAGUUUUAGAAUGCACUUACAGGUUUAAGUUACCAGCAACUUGCUUCUGUAUUGAACUUUAGCUCCAAAUAUUUGUUUAUUUUGCAGCCCAAUAUGCUGGUUGUGGAUGUUGAGAAGUUUGCUUCACCCAUUCCAGGUAAUUUUUUUCAUUAUUUUCCAGUAUUUAGUUGCUCUUAUAUUUUACUUAUAGCUCGUUUCCGGUCAUUAACUUAUUACCAGUUCUGCUAUUUCAUUAGUCAAAUUUUCUCAUUCACCUUUUUGUUGAUUCUGUCCGACAGAAAACUGGUUUUCUGUCAAUGAGAAGCAACCUAUUGCUCAUGCCAAGGUUGAAGUUAUUGAAGGGUCCGACAUGAAACCUUCAGAUUUAAAUGGUCAGUUUUAAAUCCAGUAUCUUACUUUUCCAUCAUGUAAAAUACAUGGUUUUAUGGUCAUUGAUUGGAUAUAAAAUUUUCAGGAUUGGCUGAUCCAUAUGUGAAAGGGACACUUGGCCCUUAUAGAUUCAGGACUAAGACGCAGAAGAAAACUUUGUCUCCGAAAUGGCACGAGGAAUUUAUGAUCCCCGUCUGCUCCUGGGAGGCACCUAACGUACUGAUUAUAGAAGUUCGUGACAAAGACCAUUUAUAUGAUGAUAGCCUUGGGUUUGUCUCUGAAUCUCUAAAAUAACCAUAUUGCUCGAUCAUGUUUGAAAUCUUCAAACAAAUUUUCUUUUCAUUUACGCCUAUUAUGCUUUUUGAGUGCCACUGUUUUUGCAGUUUGUGCACUAUGUUGACAACCCUUUCCAAUUAUGCAUUAGCACGUCUUAGAAAUAGUUCCCUUUUAGAUGUUUUUGAUCCGUGAUAUAUGAUACCACUGUUUGUUUUCCGAAUUCCUUAUGACUUGUUUAAGACUCUCAAAUGGUGUACUGAUUUGCUGUGUUUACAGUAAGUGCUCGGUAAAUAUUACUGAACUUCGAGGUGGCCAGAGACAUGACAUGUGGUUGCCUCUUCAAAAUAUUAAAAUGGGAAGACUGCAUCUCGCAAUAACCGUUCUUGAAGAGAAUGCUAAGGUAAUUUAUUCUAUGAUCCACAUUAUAGUCGGAAGGUUUUAAAUUGCAACCUUGCGUGCAAAUUAUUAUUAUGAGUUAAUAUGUGUCGAGAAACUAAAAAGGAUGUAUGGACAGUUUACGCAGGUAAGUGAUGGUGCUGCAGUUGAUGCUUUUGACGCCGAAGCAUUAAACAAGGAAGAUGUACAAAACUCAUUUGCAAAUAUAGAUGUGAAUAAUGGUUUAUUCUCGCCUACUUCUUCAAAGAAAUCUCCGACCCUGCCGGAUCAUUUAGAACCGAUAGAUGUUGAAGGACAACAAGAAACCGGGAUAUGGGUCCAUCACCCCGGAAGUGAAGUGUCACAAACUUGGGAACCUAGAAAAGGGAAAGGUAGAAGCCUCGAGACACAGAUUCAUAAAGUGCCUAAUAGUUCAUUUGGCAGCACCAUGUCGGCUGCAUCUGGAUCCUCUAAAAGUGAUGACAGCAGUGCUGAGGAAAACCAUAAUCCGAAGAAUCGAGUCAACAGAGUUAAGCAGGGUUUACGGAAGAUCGGUUCUGUAUUUCAUAGGAGUCCCAAAAACGAGGGUCACUCAGGCAACCUCGGAGAAGUGGUUCCAUCUCCCCAUGAAAAUCUCAGAGCAGUUAAUGACAAGGAGAUUUUGGUAAAGUUUGUAGUCGACGACAAUCUUUCGGCUGAUAAGGUCUCAAACGAAGGAAGCUUGAGUCCUGGAGAAGAAAGCCCUGGAAAGAUGAAAGACAUGGCGAAGAGUAUUCUAAAGCAUGCUGAGAAAUCUGCUCGUAGCAUAAAACAUGUUCUUUCUCGUAAAGGGUCGAAAAAAUCACGCAAUCUAUCAGCUGUGGAAGAACAAGAGUUUCCAAUAGAAUCCGACUCCGAUGAUGAUGAUGAUGAAUCUUUGUCAUCCCCGGGAGUCAAGGGAAUACCAAUUCUUUCCAAUCGCAUGCCCAGCUCCCGUGGCAACGAUGAUACUGAGGAGCAUGUCAUUUUGACAGAUUCAAACAGCCAGUUGAGCCCUGAAACAAAUGUUAAGGAACAAGUAGAGAAAACAAGUGUUGAAGGACACAACAACAUAGAUGACGAAGAUGUGAACAAUCCCAUUAAGCACGGUAAUGGAAUGAACAACAUAGAUGACGAAGAUGUGAACAAUCCCAUUAAGCUCAGUAAUGGAACGAAUGAGCCACCCUUGAAACCAAAUCCUUCGGAGAGUGAGAAAAAGGUAGAAGAAGACACUUCUCAAACAGAUACCAAAGUUUAGGUUCAGUGUUUGUAUGUGCAUCCAUAAUAGAAGACUUGAAAAGAGUUUUGAAGAACAGCGGGCAUGGUCCAGCAAUUUAGAGUUUUAGAUGGAUAAGCAAUACGUAAUACGUUUAUACAUGUUCCCUGUAAAAAUCUCCUUUGUUUGAUUUCUCACAUUUGUUAUAUACAACACAUCUUUGUAGAGUUCCAAAAUGAAAACAGGUUGUACAAGUUUAUGGCUUUUUAAACUUUUAUUUAAGUUACUUUUUUUUAAUUUUAAUUUAAAAUUCAUAAUUUAAUUGUUGAUCAUUUCAAAAUAGUUAACUGCUCCUGUAUUAAAUUCACAUACAAGGAUGACUGCAUAUUUUGACAUCCAAAAUACGAGAAAGUCGAUAAAAGUUGCCAAAUAUUGUCUGUAACAUAGGUUUCCGAAUAUUCCGACGAGAUAAAUUAAAUUUAAAUUAAUCACCUAGUUUAGUCAUCAAAAUUUAAUAAAUUAACAAUUAGAUUCAAUUAUGUCGUUUAAACAUUUUGCUACAUUUGAGAAUAAUUCUUUGGUUUGAGCAUUUCAGAGUUUUAGAGAACAAUGUAUAUAUUAUCUUACAAGCUCAGAGAUGAGACUGCACUUGCUUCCAACUCCAAACCGAAAUGAUUUAACAGGUUGCAACCGGAAGCUAUGCUACUAUCAGACUCUUUCAAACAUUAAUUCUUCUGAAUUUCCGAAUUACAUUGCAUAAAAAUGUCAUUUCAAGAGAGCUAACAUUUCCACCACUCAUAUUAUGCACCGCUCGCAUACAAACGGGUCCAUUCCUUAGCUGCAAAUAGUUAAGGAAACCAAGAACAUCAAUAGUAAGAAGCACGGCAUAUCAUCUUUGAUUCUAGUAGUGAUCUAAGAUUGCAACCACAGGGUUUUACCUGUCUCGACGGCUUCGGCCUCAUUUGUUUUCCAGUGCUUAGCAAUGUUCUCCAAGAGUGGAUCAUCAGGAUUAGGAGCACUCAAGAGUGCUUGAAUGCUAGCAAUAACGAUAAUAACUUCAGUAUCAACCUAAAACUUGAUCAAGAUACCGCAAUAACUUAAAUAACAUCUUCAACCCAGACAUUAAUGAAACCCCUUUCCAAGUAUUAGCAUGUACAUACGAAAAAGCAGUGAAGUCUUUCAUGCAGAACAGAAGCUACAUAAAUAGGGUUAUGCUGCACAAAAACUUAUAAUACCUCAAAAGUACAGUUCGAAUCUGGAGAGCCGAACUCCAUUUGUCUUUCAGAAUAUCGAGGCUAUUCUUCCAAGCUGCAAGAAAGCUCAAUCCUUAGAAGCCAACAAAAGACAUCUUUAACACCAUAAAACAAGGACAAAACAAGUAACAGGUAGAGCUGACCUUAUCGAUGUUAGGAUGAUAUAUCUUUGUAAGAAACCGGACCUGUUACACCAAAUUUGUUAAGGUGGAUAAAAAUACAGAACAUUCCAAAAAGGGCAAAACUAAUGGAAGAUGAAAAAAUUCUGAGAAACAAACAAGUCCAAUCACCAUACUAGUAAAUGUAAGAACAAGGACUUUGAAAAGCCAGUGCAUAUAACAUACUAUUAAAUGUUCAUUUCCAAUCAAUAUUUUCCUCUCAAAUGUCAUUAAAAGCAAAUAAUGACAUAGAACCAAAACUUCACCAUGUUGAAAGGAGAAUAAUACCUAUUUGCCACACCAAUAAAGUAAAAGUGAAAUUCUGUUGAACCUGAAACUACCGGAACAGAUAAAGCAGCGUUCUCUACAUGCAAACUAGUGCAUCCCUAAUUCAUAUUAAAAUCCAAUAUAUAACAUUUUCAGAUGAAGUCGAUCAAUAUCGUUUAUCAAAGGAACAUCAAUCGAGCAUAUCCCAACAUAUGCAAAAAACAUGAAGGUCAUGCUUUAAGAAUAAGUCAAUGUUGAUUACCUUGGGAGCCGCCAUGGGAUAUUCUUCAGGCAAAAAUAGUUCCAACUUGAAAACCCCUCCUAAACAAAGAACCCAAACAAGAAAAUUCAUCAUAUUCCAUACAUAAUCCAAAAUGAUAAAAAGGUGAUGAGAUAUUACAAAGCAUGCGAAUUGGCCUUAAAUUUCAACACAGAAAACAUGGGUCCCUUUCUUUAUCUUUAAAAGAUGGAAAUGAAGUAAUAUAAACGCUGCAUAAUCAUUUUCUCAAAAGAACAGAAAAAAAAGAAAAAGCAAACUUUACGCAUAUGGAGGUUAUUUUAAUAACUAAAAAUUGGCUAUGGUGUCAAUCUGCAUGUAUUAAAUCAGCUGAGAUCGAACUAUUAUACAAUAACUUCUAAAAUUUUACAGUUCUAACACAAAGAAAAAUUAUCAGCAACCAUCAGAUUAAAAAGAAAAUCAACUACCUUCAUAUGGAGAUUGUGUUGGACCAAGGAUCAUCACAUUGAAAUAUCGCAUAUUAUCCUCUGAUGGUGAGGCACUAAUUCCAGGCGCUGUAUUUAAGGGGGGAAAAACAAUAAACUCUUUUAUUUACCAGGAAAAGAAACCCAGAAAAUUCAACAAGAGAAAAAAAAGAGCAGAGUAUUUACCUGGUUCACUGAGGAGACGCUGAGUUUCCUGUUUAGAUCAAAGAUUAAGAAACAAAAAUUAAGCAUGAAGCAUUUACAAAAUUCACACAAACAAACUAAGAACACUUAAAAUAAUUUGCUGAAGCUUUUGAUUCAUUAAAACCCAAAACAAUUCAGCUACCAAAUCAAACUCUAAAAACCCAGAAAAAAGAAAAACAAAAAUUAUGAGGCUUCUAAUGAAGAAACCGAGAAGGAUCAGAGUGAGACCGAAAAAGGAACCUUUAUGAUUCUUCGAGGGAGAUUACUGUUGGCCAUUGGCGAGAUCGAUUGCAAGAAAAAAAAGAAAGAGGGUUUUUGGGAUUUAGAAAUUGAGAGAAAACGAAAUUAAGAAUCUUUUGUGUAUAUAAAAAGAAAGAAAAAAAAAAGGAAAUUAUUUAAUGCGCUAAAAAAUAAUAUAAAAAAGAAAGUACUUAACAUAAUGUUUAUGUAUAAAUAUAAAAAAAUAAUAUAUAUACUAGUAAUCUCCCUCGAAAAAUCAUUCAGGUCCCCUUUCGAUCUCACUUUGAUCCUUUUCGAUUUCUUCCCAGAAGAUUUUUUUUUCGUUAAAUUUUGUGUGUUCUCCUUUCUGGGUUUCUGGAGUUUGAUUUGGUAAUUGAAUUGGUUUGGGAUUUAAUGAAUCAAAAACUUCAGCAAAUUAUUUUCAGUCUUGUUAGUUUAUUUGCGUGAAUUUUCUAAAUGUUUAUUGCUUAAUUCUUGCUUCUUAAUCUUUGAUCUAAACAGGAAACUGAGCGUCUCCUCAGUUUACCAGGUGAAUACUCUGCUUUUUUUUUUUUAAUUUGAAAUCCUUGUUGAAUAUUGUUUGCUAUCGUUUUUCGGUUUAAAUCUUAUGAGCUGAAAAAAAGUUAAAAUUUCUGGGUUUCUUCUCCUGGUAAAUAAAAGAGUUCAUUGUUUUUUCUUUUUCCCUUAAAGAGUUGAUUGUUUGCUCUCAUAUACUUAAUGGUGAAUUAAUUUUGUUUUUCUGGUAAAAAUUUGAUCAACCCCAGGAGUUUGAUACAUUGACACCAUGAAAGAGGAACAACGCUUACUUCUUCUCCACUCAUCCUCACUCUUCUCUCCUCCUCAAGGUCUUUCCUUUCCUUCAAAAACCAAUUGAUAUUUCUUUUCAAUUUUGUUGCUAACAAAAACAUUGAACUUUCUAUUUUACUUUUUUGGUUUUUUUUAGGAGUGAAGCUAUCAUAUGGGACGGCAGGGUUCAGGGCAGAUGCAUCGAUCCUUAAAUCAACAGUUCACAGAGUUGGGAUAUUGGCUGCUUUAAGAUCACUCAAAACCCAAUCAGCUGUUGGAUUGAUGAUCACAGCUUAACACAAUAAAGUUACUGACAAUGGAGUCAAAAUUGUUGAUCCAAGUGGUGGAAUGCUCACUCAAGAAUGGGAACCUUUUGCAGAUCAACUUGCCAAUGCCCAAACUCCUGAAGCCUUCCUCUCAGUGAGUAGCCUCUUCUUUAUGUUUUUGGAUGCGCAUUUUAUUCGUUUUAUAGUAAUUCAGUGAAAUUAUUGCUGAAAGAUAAUGGGAAGUGAUGCAUUUUUAAAUAUAUUUCCAAAUUUUCUUGAUGAUUAAUGUUAAUGUGUUCUAUAAGAAACAAUAGCUUUCUUUCCCCUUGAUGAAAAUACAAUGUAUUAUGCAUAUAAUUAACAGAAAAAGUAAACCAACUAAUAUAGCCUAAGAAGCCCACUUGUAGUUGAAAAAAAUUCCAAUAUAAAGUUAGAGUAGUUUGUAUAAGGUGAGACUUACAGUUGAGACCUAAUGGUUUUGGGAUUGUCGCCUUACCUGUGAGACAAGGUCAGUUGAGAAAGCAACAAUCGUUUUGAUACUAUAGUUUAUGUUUGUUUGAUGAGUGAACUGAAGGUGUAAUAAUUUUGUUUAAGCUCAAAAAGUAUGCUAAAUUUUAGUGUUGUUGUGUAUUUGAUAUAAAUGGAGAGGGAGUUUUAGGAAAGGGAUGUUGAGUUUGAAGAGUGGAUUUAAAUUCAAUGUUAAAUGCGACUAGGAAUGCAUAUUAUACUUAUCAAUUGUUUGUUCAUACAACAGCUCAUAACAGAAUUUGUAGAGAAGGAAAAAAUUCCAUUAGAUGGAGUGCAAUCUGCAGAGAUAUUGUUAGGAAGAGACACCCGGCCUAGCGGAGAAUCUCUCCUUGAAGCUGCAAAGCAGGUACACUUUUUUUAAUCAACAGGGGAUUGCUGAAACUUUGAUAAUUUUCAUUGUGAUGUUAAAUGCAUCUAUCAUUUGCUAAUAUCUAUCUAUUUUUUAGGGAAUAAGUUCAAUUCUUGGAGCUAUUGCACUUGAUUUAGGAAUUUUAACAACCCCACAGCUGCAUUGGAUGGUUCGUGCUAGGAAUAAAGGCAUGAAAGCGACAGAACCUGCUUAUUUUGAACAGAUUUCAAACUCCUUCAGGUUAGUUGAAGCUUCAGGUUUUUUUGUAGCCAUUUUUUAGCUUGAAAUUGUACUACCUACAGUAAUGUACUAUUGUUUAGGUGCUUGGUAGAUUUGAUCCCAAAUGAAACCAAAAGCAGCAAGAUGGAUAACACAGUUGUGGUUGAUGGGGCUGAUGGUGUGGGUGGAGAGAAACUUGAAGUUUUGAAAACUAUGUUAACCAGUUUAGUUAUCGAGGUUCGUAAUACUGGUAAAGGUGGGGGUAUAUUGAAUGAUGGGGUUGGUGCUGAUUACGUACAGAAAGAGAAGGUUGUUCCACGUGGAUUUUGUUCCAAUGAUGUUGGAUUAAGGUGUGCUAUCUCUUCAGAUUUGGGAGUAAAUUACUGUUAUCAACUGUUUAUAAGCUAAUUAUUCUUGCAUCUCACUGAAUUGUUGAUCAAAGGUUAAAGGCACAUUAAACAUGUAACAAAUUUGUGAUAUUCUUUUCUUUUUAUAACUGGUGUGUAUAAUUAACAAAUUUUCGAUGGUUUGAUAACUGUCUAGUUAGCACUGCUUCAUGAAGUGAUCACUAAUCAGACACUUGAUUGAUUCAUGAUGGUAUUUGAUGGUAUUUUUACUAUGAUACUGUUUCUAGAGUAUGUUUUGAAAUCUGGUCGUGCUCUGAACUUUUGUUUAUUAGGUGUGCAAGUUUGGAUGGUGAUGCUGAUCGCCUUGUAUAUUUUUCGGUCCCAACUAACAGUAGCAGAAAAAUUGAUCUUAUUGACGGGGACAAAAUAUUAUCCUUGUUUGCAUUGUUCAUCAAGGAGCAACUAAGUAUUCUGACCAAGAAGGGCACUGAAAACCUUAAUAAUAAUUCUCAUGCUCGACUUGGUGUUAUACAGACAGCUUAUGCUAAUGGAGCAUCCACUGAUUAUCUCAAACAAUUGGGUUUGGAAGUCAUUUUUACUCCUACAGGGGUAAAACACUUGCAUGAGAAAGCUGCUCAGUUUGAUAUUGGAAUCUAUUUCGAAGCCAAUGGUCAUGGCACUAUCUUGUUCUCUGAAUCCUGGUUGUCUUGGUUAGAGGCCAGGAACAAUGAAUUAGGUUUUGCAUCUGAAGGUAAUUUAUGAAUAGAGUCCUUUUCUUAGAAGAAUUAUCUAUUAUAGUUUAUCGAGUAUUAUUGUCAUUUUUUUCUCAGGAUCCGAACAACAGAAAGCUGCUCUAAGACUACUCUCUGUCAGUAAAUUGAUCAACCAAGCUGUUGGAGACGCUUUGAGUUGCUUGCUUUUGGUUGAGGUUGUUUUGCAACAUAAGGGUUGGUCCAUACAUAAAUGGAAUGAACUUUACCUGGAUUUACCUAGUCGACAACUUAAGGUCAGUUUUCGUUAUCACUCUUGGAAAAGAAACUAGGGUAGUCUUUCCCAUCUAUAGAAGGGAUCAUCAUAUCUACCUUUUCUUGCUAGUUUUCCAUAUUUUGACUAAGAUCUUUCUUUUGCACGUUACACCUAAGACAUCUUAUAACUCGUUGAAGAGAUGGACCAUUUGAUUUUCUAUACGAGGGAGAAAGUAUGCUUCAUGUCUGUUGAACUUGAAAAGGAUUCAUAUAGUCCUCAAUAGAGAGGCUGUGUUCGAGGGCUUCUAACUAAACUCCUAGAGUUUGACUAGUAUAAGCUUGCAACAUUAGCUUAAAAAUAUUAGAUUUAUUACAUCAGAAAGAGAAAAAAGGGAAAAUCUUUGAUACAACUGAUUUCUGCAUGCUGCGUCCACUUUAUAAUGUUUGUCUUGUAAACUCUGCUAUAGUGUAGUCUUACAUUAGCAAUGCUCAAACAAUUUAAUGUUUCCAUUGCUUGUGCUAGGUCAAAGUUGUAGACAGAACAGCUGUUGCAACAACAAAUGCCGAAACUGUAGCUAUUAGUCCCCCUGGCAUUCAAGAAGCCAUUGAUGCUGAAACUGGUAACAUUUUUGUCAUUGAUCUCAUCUCAAUGCAUGUUUUGGUGCUUAUCCUUGGGCUUAUUUUUUGGUUCAAUUAACAUCUAACUGUUGGGGGAAUAUUUUUCUCUUAAAUCUCUUUCGAGGCCUCGUGUAUAUUAACUAUUUCUGAGAACUCAUACAAAAUGCAGCGAAGUACCCUAGAGGCCGGUGUUUCAUACGACCAUCAGGUACAGAGGAUGUCAUUCGUGUUUAUGCAGAAGCCUCCACCCAAGAAGCUGCAGACAGCUUGGCCGGUUCUGUUGCCAAAAUUGUUGAUCGUUUUCUAGGUUUUAGCAGCUCUCAGCGGUAGCUUCCCUAAUCUUUCACAAUGUAACAGAAAUCACAAAUGGAGACGCAGAUUACUGUGGGUGCUUUAUAUUUUAUGUUUUGUUUUGAAGGUAAUAUAUUUUGUUAUACUUUUUUAUAACAUUAAACUUUGUCAUCUUACUUUUACAGGCAUUGAUUUCAAAUUGAGUUUUCCCCACUACUUUGAACAUUACAGAGUUCCUUUUCUGUUCGGUAUCUACUCGUCUAUGUGGAUGCUUCCCUGUGCGGUAAAAGUACCCCGCAAUCUUUCACCUUCAUCCCUUGCCCUUCAUUGUCCUGGUUGAUGAAAUGGUUAAACUACUUCUUUGGCUGACAAUUCCGACUCCAACCGAGUAAUCCAUUUGGUGAUGGGCAAGGAACACAUUGGUUUUCCUCCCAUUCUGUGCCCCACAUUGAUUUCCUAGAGAAGAGUGCAAUGUCUCUUCCCAAGCUUGUGAAACGAACUUGUCAUAGUAGGUAAAAGCCCCAUCGGCCUUGUCAAAAAUGAGAACCUUUUGCCGAUCAACUUCCCAAUGCCCAAACUCUUGGAAGCUCUCCUCUCUGUGGGUAACAUUUUAUGUUUGUGGAAGUGGGUUUUAUUUGUUUUAUAGUAAUUCACUGAAAUUAUAUCAAGAAACUAUUGGAACACCCGGAAAUAUAUUUGAGCACCUCCAACUUCUAAUAAUUAACAAAAAAAAAAAAAGAAAAAAAAAGGAAGCUUUUGUGCUUCAGGGUACAGCCUUUUUUAUAUUCAACAUCACCAUAAGCAUUUUAAAUAAUAAUAUAAAAACCAGCACCAUAAGCAUUACUUUCCAACAUCAAAUUAUGUUUAUCCAAUUCCUCAAGUACAAGGUUAACCAACGAGGAAUCUACAAGAAAUGCCAGUCCUUUAUCAUUAAAUAUUUAAAGUGUUAAUAAACAAAUCCAUCCACCAAACCAUCAAAAACAAUGUCAAACUGAACAAUGAUGUACCAUUUCCCUGAGAUCCUUCCCAUGUAAGUCUUGAAGAGCAUCAUACUCCACCAAUCUAUCUCCUUCACUCACUUCACACAAAUUUUUCAUUGUAAGAACAAAAAUUUUAUUUACUCGAGUUUAAAAAGGGUAAAAAUAAUUAGUUUAACUUUUUAAUUUUAAAUUGAAUUGAUUCAAUCGAUAAUUUGAUCUAAUAUAUGAACAAUUAACUAACAAAUAAAAAUACAUCCCACCACAUAAUUAUUUUAAGUGUGUUAUUUUCAAAAUAAAAAUCCCAAAGUUUUGAUAUUUAUAAAAGAAAUUAUUUAGUUAAUUAUUAAUAAUCCACCAACAUGACAUGUUAUAGUAUAUGGUCAAAAAUAUUUAAAAUAAUUAAUAUAAUAAAAAAAUAUGUCUUCUUAGUGGGGCUUUUUAAUUUUAAUUAAUCCAAUUUAAAUAACUAUAUAUAAAUAUUAUUAAAUUUUAAAUAAAAAAUAAAUUCAACUAAACCGGUUCAUGGGCCGGAUACGAGCCCACCGUUUUUCUUCAACAAACCGCGAAAGAGCAGAUUGCUUGAGUGAUGUUUAUAAACAAACGGCCGAGAAAAUGACAAUACACUCACCAAACCAGCAAACCAAACGAAGGAUAACAUUAAAAAUGAACACUUAGAAAGAUAUCUUCUAGAUUUUGCUUAUUAAGGCUUUGAUUUGAUCGUUUCCUCGAUCUCAUUUAAUAUUUUUAAAAUUAAUCUCAAACCCAAACCAUCCCAUUCAGCGGAAUUGACAAUGCUGCUUAACGUGGGUACUUUCAUAAGAUCAGCUACUCGAUUUUCUCCUUUCAUUAUAACCCAUUCUUCUCCUUCUUCGUUUUGUUUCAGUUUCUCUCCAAAGCAAACCGUCUCUUUUACUCUACAAUCAUCGCAAAUGGCGUCUUUUACUACGUUAUCUCAAUCGCCUCCAAAGCUAUUGUUUCGUCAGUUGUUCGAGAAAGAAUCAUCUACUUAUACUUACCUUCUUGCUGAUUGUUCCCACCCUGAUAAACCAGCGCUUGUAAGUGUUUAUUUUAAUGAAAAUAAAAUCUAGGUUUUGUUUGCUUUUGGGUUUUUUUUUAUUAGUAUUUGAUAUAUGGUGAAAAUGGGCGUGUGCAGUUGAUUGACCCUGUAGACAGGACUGUUGAUAGAGAUUUAAAUUUGGUUAAAGAAUUGGGGCUGAAGCUUAUUUAUGCUAUGAACACUCAUGUACAUGCUGAUCAUGUUACUGGAACUGGCCUCAUCAAGGUUUUCCCUUUCUCACUUUUACUCUACUCUGUUCUCUAUAUUUUUGGGGUUAUUAGAGAAAUAAAGUCUACUAUCAGUCAAUUUUGUUACUUAAGACUUGAGACUGUUGAACUGGAUAAUUCAGGUUCUAAUCAUUCAGGGAAUGUUAUUGGCUCUUAGAUUGACGUAUAUGAAUGUGAUUGUUCCUUUUAGGGCAAGGUGCCUGGUGUCAAAUCCGUUAUUUCAAAGGCCAGUGGUUCCAAGGCUGAUGUUUUUGUUGAAGCUGGUGACAAAAUCUCUUUUGGGGAUCUCUUUCUUGAGGUAGGCUUGUGUACGCAAAACUGCUUGUUCUGUCAGUUUCGUUGUAUGGAUCUUUUUAAACAAUUCAGGAGAAUAUAGCUAUGAUGUUGCGGUGGUUUACGUAUUGCUGGCUCGUUAUGAAUUCUAAAAGAUGAAAAAGAAAAUAGAGUUAGAGAUGUGAGUAUACUGUGUAGGUAACCAUGAUCAGCAUUCUAAUGGUUUUGUUAUUUAAUUGGUAAUUUGGUUUUUUUAUUUUGAUUACACCCAAACUUCCAAUGUGGUUUAACGGUCAUUAUUGAAUGAUGACCAGUAGGUCUACUGCAGUACUAUCUUCUAUAAUAAGGUAAUAAUUGCAGGUCCGUGCUACUCCUGGUCAUACAAUGGGUUGUGUUACCUAUGUCACGGGAGCUGGACCAGAUCAACCUCAGCCAAGGAUGGCUUUCACAGGAGAUGCUCUGUUGAUAAGGGGAUGUGGGAGGACAGAUUUUCAGGUGUAAUGUCUUGAAAAUGUUAUUGCAGCUAAUCGCAAAAAAAUGGAACGAAUUAAUAUUCAUGUCAUUAAUACAAAAGAAGCAGUCUAAAUUAAAAUGUUAAGCAUGUAAACCAAUCUUGGCUUUGCUUAUGCAAUUUAAAAUUUUUGUAUGUCCCCAUGUGAUGUUUGGAUUACGAAUGUAUAUUUAUCCACUGAUAUUUGUCCCAGGAAGGGAUUGUCGAACCAAUAAUUGAUUGUUUUUGCAUUUAAUUUGCAUGUCCUAUUUGUAUUUCAAACAAUAGGACCGAUGUGUAGAUAUCUAACUCUCGGUUACCUAUUUGUCUAGUCUUCUACUUAUCAGUGCCUACCUUGUUACUGUGGUUGCACAUAAAAUGUUUGUCAUUCAGAAGCCUCAUGGUAAACUAAUCAGUAAUUCAAUCAUCCUUGAAGUAAAAGUUUGAACUAUCAGGGCUAUACUUUUUGCAAUGGAUUUUCAGUCAUGAGUACAUAAAUGCUUGUUUUAUAUGCUGGCAAUUUCUUUCCAUCUGGAUGUCAUUGUCAUGGAUAUUUCUUUGUCUUCCAGGAUUUUUGUUAUGCUUAAGUUUUUAAGAUAAUUUUCUCUAAUGCUUCCACAUUCAGUAGCCAUUGACUAGUACUGAUUAAUACAUUUUGCAGGGUGGAAGUUCACAGCAACUCUACAAGUCAGUGCAUUCACAGGUAAGGACAGGGUCCUUUUAUGGUCCCAUUCUUUGAGUUCUCAAAAUUUUAUUGUAAUUGUCAAAAUUUGAAUAAAAAUUAUGGACUUAUUUGUUUCAUGGAUCCAGAUUUUUACAUUACCGAAAGAGACAUUGCUAUAUCCAGCUCAUGACUACAAAGGAUUCUCAGUAAGAUAUAUAACUUGAUUCCUAUCAUUUCUUACAUAUAUAAAUGAUUGUUUGAUUAUAUAAAACUCAUUGAUUAUAGGUAACCACUGUGGGAGAGGAGAUGCUAUAUAAUCCACGCUUGACAAAGGAUGAGGUAUUCUUUCCGGAACCAUCCAUCUUCCCUUUUCUUUGGAAAACAGCUUGUUACUUUUGACAAUAGAACAUUAAGAGUGCAUGUUUUCAUUUCAGUGAUAAGAAAGGGUUUCCUUUUAUCCGUAUGAUCUUUAACUCGUAUAAGCCGCAUAUAACUUCUGUAAUUAAAAUUGCAUAUGCAUUGAACAUUUCUUGCUGAGCAUUGGUUUGAUUCUCUUGGAUGGGACUAUUCCAAUGAACAUCGCUAUGGUAAAACAUGAAAUCAUGAAAAAGCAUGACAUCUCGAUAUCUUCACGCAUUUGAUUGAAGAUUAUUCUUUAUUGUGGUCAUAGAAUACUAGUUUCAAUGUGUCCUAUCAACAUGUCUGAUAAGAUAUUAUUUGUUGAAUACCCUUUUUGCAGGAGACUUUCAAAAAUAUCAUGGAAAGUAAGUUGAUGCUCACUAUAUCCAGUCUAUAAAAGAUUAGAAAAAAAAACAAAAAAGCAUCUUUGGGUUUUUUCGGAUUGCUGGUUCUGAUAUCUCCUCUGUUUUUGUUGGUGCAACAGAUCUUAACUUGGCAUAUCCUAAGAUGAUUGAUGUUGCAGUGCCAGCAAAUAUGGUUUGUGGGUUGCAAGAUUUGGAACCUAAAGCCGAUUGAGGCUUUGCUGGACACCAUCCAUAAGUGUGCACAGAUUUUAGUUGUAUUAUAAUUCUGGAUCUUAAUAUCACUGGAUAUGCUAAAUAAAAUGGCUAGAGAAGCCACGUGAUUGCAAGGAAUCCAUAAAUUAUAAAUAUAUACUAUAUCAUAUUGUAAUCAUGUAAUAUUGUCGUCUUUCUAUCUGCAUCAACUUGUGUUCUUCAUACAUACCCUCCUAAGUUACCGAACUAUCUAAACAACAGAACACCAAUCAUAUUUUUAUUAUGGACCAAUCAUAUUUUUCAGGUUUGAUUUGAUUAUUGGACCAACCAAAUUCAGCCAUAUCCUCUACAUUUCUGAAUUCGAUCAAGUAGAACAUAUUAGUAGGUAUAAGCUAUGAGUUGAAUUUGAUUUCAAGAUAAAUAACGAGUUGUACAAAUUUGUUGGAUUAACUUUGAUUUUAAUUUCAAUAUUAUAAUUUGAAUUCAAAUUAAUAUUAAAAAUUUUCAUUAUAAAUUAACUCGUGAAUUUUUUUCAAAACAAAUAUUAGAAGAUUAGAAUUUAAAUCAUUCGAUAACUUAAACUGACUCGAUUAACCGAAGUGAAUCAGGAAUAAUUUAGCUUCACAAGAUGUGUCGUUUAUAUCCCAAAUUACAAUGUAAUAAUAAGUUAAAAUUGCCAAACUGGGUAUGAUAGGCAGAAGGCAGCUUCCUGAACCCGAUCCUAACGCUCAAUUUUCCCUAGUUGAUUGAUCACCAUAACCAGAUCUAAUUUCCCAAUCUAGAAUCUCCCUGGGAGGAGAAAUGAGGAAUGAAGAUAGAGACAGAGGUGUAGCUGUAGAUAAACAGCAGCAUAACCAAUAUGGAACAUUCCAAGGAGUUGCCAACUACCCUCCUCCACGUCCUCCACGUCCCCACCACCACAACCCGCAUCCGCAACAGCAACAGCACCAGCACCAGCAACAGCAACAGCACCAUGUGCCAACUAUUGGGUUUCCUCCACCUCCCUCUAUCGCUCCUCCUCAGUAUUACCCCCAAGCCUACCAGACCGUGCCGGGUAUUCUACAAAUAUGAAAAAACUUUCUUCUCUUUUUAUUAGCUUAUCGAAAUGAAGGAUUUUGAGAUUUGGGUUCUUGUUAGAUGAAUGGUUAAUGAUAUUUUUUAAAUGAAAGAUCCAAGUUUUUUAAUGUUUUAGAAGAAAAGGUGUUUAAAUAUUAGGAGUUUUUUAGCAGAGAAAGAAGAUAAAUAAAUGCAUGAGAUACAUUAGCAAUAUUAUUUGGAUUUGGUUGUCUAAUGUAUUGAAUUUUUUUUUUAAGGGUGACCUGAGUAGGUGUGGGAAGAUUCAAAGUUUUUUCUAUUAUAGCAGAUAUAUAUAUUUUAAUGGUUUAAGAAGAAUGGAAGUUGGUUUCAAAGGAAGAUGAGAAAUAAAAGCAUUUAUAUAUAUAUAUAUGAUAUGUCAUUAAUUCAUAAACCAAACAUAUAAAAUAUGUAAAAAUGUUUGGGGGUUAAUUAUGGUGUUUUGACAAUCCUGUAACCUUCAACUUGAAGAAAACCUUAGGUUUCUAAAAUUUAUGUGAAGAGUUAGAAUGGUAGGCUUCAUGGAUCUGAAUAACUAGAAUCAAUGUAAGAGUGGUAUAUUGUGUGAAGUUUGGUUUCUUGUAUAUAAUUGUAUCGAAAACAAUGUUACAUGAUUUAAAAUGAUCGUUCAUCCAAUUUAACAAAGCCUGCAUUAUGUUGAUAAAAAAUUUUAAUUCAUGUUGCGGUUUGUUCUAUGAUAUCUUUGAUGUCUAGGUUAUGAUGUUGCUGAAGGAACACCUGUAAGAGAUAAGCUACCGUGCUGUGGCAUUGGAUUCGGAUGGUUCUUGUAAGUGUACAUAGUUUUCUUUGUUUUUUAGGAGUUCUUUACAUAUGAAGUAAAACAAGUAGCAACUUGAUGGAUAUGUCAUUAUGCUUUAACUUGAACAAAUCAUUUUCCUUUAUCUCUAAUUGCCAUUUCUUUAAAAGAAAAAGAGGGAGUUGUGUAGUUUACAGUUUGGACAAAUGGGAAGUUAAUAUAAUGCACUAUUUGGAUGAAAAUGUUAUAAGAAACCUGUGAGUUCAUAUUGGGUUUAUUUUUAUUGAAGCAAUGGUUAGCAUGUAGCAAUCACAUGUUUUAUUAUUAUUACUAUUAUUAUUAUUAUUUGGAUGUAAUGAUGUAACUUAGUUGUAUUCCAACUAAGUUUGUUAGUGGUAGUAGGUGGUGAUUUAUUUUAAGUGGAUGUAAUGAUAAAACUUAGUUGUAUUCCAACUAAGUUUGUUAGUGGUAGUAGGUGGUGAUUUAUUUUAAGUGGAUGUAAUUAUAAAACUUAGUUGUAUUCCAACUAAGUUUGUUAGUGAUAGUAGGUGGUGAUUUAUUUUAAGUGGAUGUAAUGAUGAAACUUAGUUGUAUUCCAACUAAGUUGUCAAGUUGUAAGCUUGUAUAAAUAGGCUUUAUGCCAUUUUAAAAAAAUGAAUGAAUUCAAUCAAGAUUUCAUCCAUAUACUCUCUAUUUUAGCUUUGCUUAAAAUUUAUUUCAUUUUUCUUCUUUGUUUCUGUCGCAAGUCUCGAUUCUUGCUCCUCAAGCUUUUUGUUGAACCUUGCUAUUUGUUGCACUUAGCUCCAACAAUUGGUAUCAAGAGCCUAUUUCUUAAGGGAUCUGUUAUACAAAUUCAUGGCUUCAUCAAGCUUUUCACCAGCUGCACCUCAAGUCUUCAAUGGAGAAGGCUACCACAUAUGGGUGGUUAAAAUGAAGACCUACCUACAAGCUUUCGAUCUGUGGGAGGUAGUCAACUCAGAUGUUGAACCAGAGCCACUUAGAGGCAAUCCAACAGUGGCUCAAAUCAGGCAGCAUGCUGAUGAGAGGACCAAGAGGCACAAAGCCAUGUCUUGCAUCCAGAACUCAGUGUCAGAUGUGAUUUUCACAAGGAUUAUGGCCUGUGAAUCACCAAAACAAGCCUGGGACAAGUUGCAAGAGGAGUUUCAAGGGACAGAGAGGACAAGGCAGCAACAGUUGCUGAACUUAAGGAGAGAUUUCGAGAAUUUGAAGAUGAAGGAAGAAGAAACUAUCAAGCAGUACUCUGACAGGAUUAUGGCUGUGGUUAACAGCAUAAGGCUCCUUGGAGAGUAGCUCAAGGAAGCUAGGAUAGUGGAGAAGGUUAUUGCAACUCUGCCCGAGAGGUAUGAGGUAAAAAUCUCAUCUCUCGAGGACUCAAGGGACCUGUACACCAUCUCCCUGACAGAGUUGAUCAAUGCUUUAUAUGCUCAAGAGAAAAGAAGAGCAAGCAGACUGGAGGAGCAUCAAGAAGGUGCCUUUCAGGCAAGAACAAACACUGCCUACAAAGGCAAGAAGGCCUGGAGAGACAAGCCAAGGACUGAUGUUGCAAGAAAAGAGGGUCAGACUUGCAAGCACUGCAGAAGGGCUGGUCAUCCAAAAGAAAAAUGCUGGUUCAAUCCAGAUGCUGUAUGUCAGCAUUGUAAAAAGAAGGGUCAUGUUGAGAGAGUCUGCAAGAGCAAGGCCAAAUCAAGGCAGAGUCAGUUUCAACAGAAGAAAGCUGAGGCUCGAGUAGCUAAGGAGGACAGUGACCAAGAGGAGCAAGUCUUUGCUGUGUUAUGCUCAGCUGCUCAAGAAAGGUUCUCAUCUGGUUGGCUUCUAGACAGUGGAUGCACCAACCACAUGACACCUGAUACUGCAAUCUUCAAGUCUUUAGACAGAAGCUGCAGAACUAAAGUCAAGAUAGGAAAUGGACAUUUUAUUCAAGCUGAAGGCAAGGGUGAUGUGCUGAUAUGCACCCCCACAGGUGCCAAAGUGAUUUCAAAUGUGCUUUUGGUGCCUGAAAUUGACAGAAACCUGCUCAGCAUAGCUCAGUUGCUGGAGAAAGGUUAUUCUGUUGUGUUCAAAGACAACCAAUGCCAAAUCAAUGAUCCAAGUGGAUCCAAGCUGAUGGCAGUUCCUAUGGCUAAUAAGAGCUUUGUAGUUGACUGGACCAGGGAGUCAGACAUUGCCUACACAGUCACAUCAGAUGAAUCCAAGCUUUGGCAUCAAAGACUGGGACAUGUCAACUUCAGAUCGAUGGCUCGAAUGGUCAGAGAGGACUUGGCUGAAAACUUCAUCAACUCAGUGGAUCAUGAUGAUGUGUGUGAAGUGUGUCAGCUAGGAAAGCAGGCCAGACUCCCAUUUCCCUCGAAUCAAGCCUGGAGAGCCUCUGAAAAACUCCAACUGGUGCACACUGAUGUGUGUGGCCCUAUGAGGACUGAGUCAUUAAGUGGAAACAGGUACUUCAUACUGUUCAUUGAUGAUUUUUCAAGAUAUUGCUGGCUUUACUUCCUAAAACAGAAAUCAGAGGCGGCCUCAGUGUUUUGGAAGUUCAAGACUGCUGCUGAGACUGAAACAGGUUGCAAGCUGAAGUCCAUAAGGUUUGAUAAUGGGACUGAGUACACCUCAGCUCAGUUCCAAGCCUUCUGUGAUAAGGCAGGCAUCAAACAUCAACUUACCAACACAUAUACACCUCAGCAAAAUGGUGUAAGUGAAAGGAAGAAUAGGAGUUUGAUGGAUAUGGCCAGGUGCUUGAUGAUUCAGAAGAAUCUGCCUAAAGCACUAUGGGCAGAGGCAGUUAACACUGCAAACUACAUUCAAAAUAGGCUUCCAACCAAGGCCUUGGAUCAGAAGACUCCAUUCGAAGCCUGGUUUGGAUUCAAGCCAUCACUGGCUCAUCUGAAGGUCUUUGGAUGCAUCUGUUAUGCUCAUGUACCUGCUGUCAAAAGGGACAAAUUGUCUGAAAGAGCUCGACCUGGUAUUUUGGUGGGCUACAGCACUGUUAAGAAGGGCUAUAGGAUCUUGGAUCCUUCAACAAAGAAAGUCUCAGUCAGUAGGGAUGUGGUAUUUGAUGAAAAGUCAUGUUGGAACUGGGAAAAACAUGAACCUGAGGAAGUUUCAGAAGGACUUGCAGCAGAUCAAGCUGAGCCAGAUCAAAAUGUUCCUGAAAUGGACAUUGAUGAUGAACCAGUUAGAGGAACAAGACCAUUGACUGAGAUUUAUGAAAGAGCUCAUGUAGCCAUAGCUGAACCAAGCAAUUUUGAAGAGGCUGAAGCUCAGCAAGAGUGGAAGCAGGCAAUAGCUGAGGAGAUUAGCAUGAUUGAGAAGAACCAGACCUGGGAAUUAGUUGAAAGGCCAGUCAAAAGGAAGAUAAUUGGGGUGAAAUGGGUGUACAAAGCCAAGCAAAAUGCUGAUGGUACCUUGAACAAACUGAAAGCAAGGCUAGUUGUCAAGGGGUUCAGUCAGAGGUAUGGCCUGGACUACCUAGAGACCUUUGCACCAGUGGCCAGGCUAGACACCAUCAGAUUAUUGAUUGCCUUAGCAGCACAGCUCGAGUGGAAGAUCCAUCAACUCGAUGUGAAAUCAGCCUUUCUGAAUGGUUUCUUAGAUGAAGAGAUCUAUGUUGAACAACCACAAGGGUUUGAGAUAGCUGGCAGAGAGCAUAUGGUCUACAAACUGAAGAAGGCCCUAUAUGGCUUAAAACAGGCUCCAAGGGCCUGGUACAGCAGAAUCGAUGGCUACUUGACUAAUUUGGGAUUCGAUCGAAGCAAGAGUGAGCCAACACUGUAUGUCAAGAAGCAAGGGACACAAACACAGCUCAUUGUAUCCCUAUAUGUUGAUGACCUGCUGGUGACAGGAGGAGAUCGAGCAGUGCUGGUCGAUUUCAAGACCAAGAUGCAAGAAGUAUUUGAAAUGUCUGAUCUAGGGGAAAUGUCUUAUUUCAUUGGAAUGGAGGUGACUCAAGCACAAAAUGGGAUAUUUCUAAGUCAGAGAAACUUUGCCACAAAGAUUCUGACCAAGUUCUCCAUGCAAAACAGUAAAGCAACUAAAACACCUGUUGCUGUUGGAGAAAAACUAUCGAGCCAAGGUGAUUUUGAGAAGGUUUGUGAAACAACCUACAGAAGUCUAGUUGGUUGUCUGUUAUAUUUAACUGCCACUAGACCAGACAUAAUGUAUGCUGUAGGAUUGCUCUCAAGGUUCUUGCAUUGUUGCAAUAAAAAGCAUUUACAAGCUGCUAAGAGAGUGCUUAGAUAUGUCAAAGGUACUUUGAGCUAUGGUUUAAGGUACAGCAAGGAAGGAAAUCUGAAGCUGGUUGGCUACACUGAUAGUGACUGGGCUGGCUCGAUAGAUGACAUGAAAAGCACCUCAGGGUAUGCUUUCAACCUUGGUUCAGCCAUGUUUUGCUGGAGCUCGAAGAAGCAAAGUCUCGUGGCUCAAUCUACUGCUGAAGCAGAAUAUGUGGCAGCUGCAAGUGCUGUCAACCAAGCCAUUUGGCUAAGGAAAAUCUUAGCUGAUUUGAAAGUGCAUCAAAAGGAAGCUACUGAGAUCUUCUGUGACAACCAAUCUUCAGUUGCAAUUGCUAAAAAUCCAGUGUUCCAUGGAAGAACAAAGCAUUUCAGCAUCAAGUUGCAUGUUGUUCGAGAAAUGGAGCAAGCUCAGGAAGUGAAGCUGAUCCAUUGUAAUUCUGAGGAUCAACUUGCAGACAUUUUGACUAAAGCCCUUAAUGUCACAAGGUUCGAAUGUCUAAGAAGGAAGCUAGGUGUUUGCUCCAUGCAAACCAAGGAGGAGUAUUGAAGCAAUGGUUAGCAUGUAGCAAUCACAUGUUUUAUUAUUAUUACUAUUAUUAUUAUUAUUUGGAUGUAAUGAUGUAACUUAGUUGUAUUCCAACUAAGUUUGUUAGUGGUAGUAGGUGGUGAUUUAUUUUAAGUGGAUGUAAUGAUAAAACUUAGUUGUAUUCCAACUAAGUUUGUUAGUGGUAGUAGGUGGUGAUUUAUUUUAAGUGGAUGUAAUGAUGAAACUUAGUUGUAUUCCAACUAAGUUGUCAAGUUGUAAGCUUGUAUAAAUAGGCUUUAUGCCAUUUUAAAAAAAUGAAUGAAUUCAAUCAAGAUUUCAUCCAUAUACUCUCUAUUUUAGCUUUGCUUAAAAUUUAUUUCAUUUUUCUUCUUUGUUUCUGCCGCAAGUCUCGAUUCUUGCUCGGCAAGCUUUUUGUUGAACCUUGCUAUUUGUUGCACUUAGCUCCAACAAUUUUAUAUCAUAAUUAGAUUGUUGAGCUGGCUGUCAUACUUAGAUGGUCUUUCAUUUUGCUACUUGUUAAACCAUACCACUUUCACAUUCAUACUUGAAAUGGCUGGGAUUUAGUGCCAUUCUACUUAGCAGCCUCGUGUAAUACACAGGUGAAAUGUUUAUCUUUUCAUGUCACCUUAAAGUUCCCAUUUCCAUGACGGUAUUGUUAAUUGAAGACUGGUAGACACCCCAAAAUACGGAAAUUGUUUUGGAUGUAUACCACUUUACCAUGCAUGAUUGCAUGACAUAUAUUUUUCUACAAGUUUGCAUGACAUUUUAUUAUUAUAUUGGUCGUUAUUUUCUGUACUCGUAGCUUCCAUUUAUAUAUUUUUAUGAAUUUUGAACUUUCUUGUUUAAUAAGAGAAGUAUGCUGCUUUGAAGGUUCAUCAUUGGUUUCUUCAUUGGUGGCCUUCCCUGGUAUAUUGGAUUCUUUGUUUUACUUUGUGCAAGGAUAGACGACAGAGAGAAAGCAGGAUAUAUUGCUUGCACAAUUGCCGUGAGUAUCUUUUCUAUCAGUAUUUUUUCUUUUCCAAUUUUAUGAAAGCCAUCCUGCCUUGUAUUGAUCAUCAACUUAACCAUUAUAUAUAUAUGUGUGUGUAUCUUAUGUAUUUGUACCAUGCUUUAUCUUCAAUGCAAAUAUAAGUUAAACUACAAAGAUUGGAUUGUUAAAAAAAAGUUUAAAAUGUUAAAAAAAUUGGAAAUUUUGAUUUUGUAAGAAUGAUAGAAAACCAAGGUCAAUGCUUGCAUAUGUUAUCUACUACAUACACAAUCGGGUCGAUGUCUGUCUAUAUUUUUCUUGUUUAGAAAUCGUGUUCAAUUGGGUUACAAUAUGUACUAUUGAAGUGUCAAUUUUUAAUUUCCUUAUCAAGAUUACACAUUUUUUUGUUAAUAUUUGGAAUCACUUAAUGGUUAUAAACCCUGCGUGGAUACUGUCCACAAAGUCUAGUUGGAAAAUCCCUUGUAUUCUUUGUCCUUUCUAAGAACUUUUCCUUUCCAUCAUUCUCGCUUCUGUUUUCUUUUUUCUUCCCUCUACUUUAAGUCAUUAUCUAACGUAGAUAUCCCUUGUAUUCUUUGUCCUUUCUAUGGCAAUCGAGUCAAUUGAUGGCAAGCCAAAAAAAAGAACAACUAUCCUGUCUUACUCGAUUGCCAUCCCUACUGUUAAACACCAUUAGGAAAAGGAAAAUUUUAGUUAAGCUUUAAAACAGCCAUGUUUUAACGAUGUUGGUGAUGGUGCUUGUGCAGGCCCUUCUUGCUACAAUUACAAUUAUUCUUAGUAUAACAAUUAAAGCUGGUGGGUGGUAAAGCACACCUGUUUUUGACUGAGAGAUGUAUAGGUUCCCAAAUAAUAUGUAUAUGCCCCCCCCCCCCCCCCUCUUUUAUUUUAUUUCAUUUCCAGUAAGUUAUUGUUUAUGAUAAUUUGCAACAAAUGUUUUUAUCAUUAUUUUGUUGGUGAAUGAUAAUAAGAUUAAACUUUACUUUCUUAAGCUCCAAUUCUUUGGACGUUGGUGAUUUUUUAUUAUAGUUGAUUCAUUGUAUGGUAUUAAUAUAAUUUAUGUCGCUUAAAAUUUAUAACUGGAAAUAUAAAUUUUAAAUUUUACUUCAAUUUGUUUGUAUUUAUAAAUGGUUAAUUCAAACUUAUCUUUUUCCUCAUUAUAUUUUAUAUUUAAAUUAACAUUUAAACUAUUUUCAUUAGCAAUAUUGUUAUUAAUUAUAUUUAUUAGCACCAGCAUCAAACUUACUAAAAAUUAAAUUUUUAACUUCAAAAAAAAAUAUUUUUAGCUAUUUAUCAUCACAGAGAAAAAAAGGUAAGGUCACCACGCCUCAUGCUUCAACACCUCAAACUAGACUCUCAUCACCUGUAUUUAUCAUCGAUUCAGAAUUUUAUUUUUACUGUAUUCCAGAACUACCUAGAAAUAUAUCUUCAAACUUCCUCUGGUUAAGUUCAUUGAUAGUCAACUUACUAUUAUUUCUAAAAAAAGACAAAUAAAUUGAUUAAUAGUAAUAUCAAUGGUUCAAUUUUAUUCUUACCAGUAUCUGUCCUUUAGAAAGGGGCUUAUAAAAGAGAUAAGAGGUGAGUAAACUUGAGCUUCAGCUUUCCACAAACACCUUAAUUUGAAGACACUGUUCUCUCAUACUAAAAAAGACAUGGAAGUUUACCUUGUAAUUAGAGAUUUGGUUUCAUUGCUUGUUGUUGGGUUAUUAAUGAUAUGGGGAUGGAGAGCUUUAAACUGGGUAUGGCUGGCCCCAAAAAGGCUCGAAAGGUGCUUGAGACAACAGGGUUUAUGUUUUUUUAUUUAAUCUGCAAUUUAUGAUAAUUCUUUGUUAUUUAUGUAAGGAAUUUAUUGGGAGGAAAUGCAGGAAAGAAUUCAUUUACGUGGUUUGGUCCAAGACCAAGGGUGAACAUUACGGACCCUGAAAAAAUAAGAGAAAUACUUAACAAAUUUAAUGACUUCCAGAAGGUACGUACCAAUCCACUGCUUAAUUUGCUUGUAAGCGGCCUUGCUAACCUCGAAGGAGACCGAUGGAGCAAGCGUAGAAAAAUCAUAAACCCUGCAUUUCAUCAAGAUAAGUUGAAGGUAUAGAAUAGUGAUGGGUACUCAAGACUUUACAGAAAACAUCAUACUUAAACCUGAGCUUUUCUGAUUUAGAAAUAAUUGGAUGCAGAAUAUGUUGCCAGCAUUUUAUCAAAGUUGUAGUGACAUGUUAAGAAAAUGGGAGAAGAUGGUGUGUACAGAAGGAUACAGUGAGUUAGAUGUGUGGCCUUAUCUCGUAGAUUUGACAAGAGAUGUGAUUUCCCGAUCUGCUUUUGGAAGCAGCUUCGAAGAAGGCAAACGAAUUUUCCAAUUACUAGAGGACCAACUCGUUCUCACAAUCAAAUUAAUACAAACUGUUUACAUUCCAUGAUGGAGGUAACCCUCAACUUAAUUUACUUGAAAAAGGUUGCAAAUGUUGGAAUUCGCUAAAUUCGUGUUUGUUUUCUUGAAGGUUUUUGCCAACAAAGACAAACAGGGAGAUGAAGAUGAAACACAGAGACAUAAAAGAGUCGCUUAGGGAAAUGAUAAAGAGAAGAGAGAAGGCAAUUAAAGCAGGGGAAGAGAGCAAUGAGGACUUGUUGGACAUACUUGUGGAAUCCAAUAUCAGAGAAAUGGAAGCAAAGAAUAUGGGGAUGAGCAUUGAGGAUGUGAUUGAGGAAUGCAAGCUGUUUUACUUUGCUGGCCAAGAGACCACUUCGGUCUUACUGGUGUGGACUAUGGUUUUAUUAGCAAGGUAUCCCGAUUGGCAAAGUAAAGCAAGAGAGGAGGUUUUGCAUGUUUUGGGUGACAGUAAACCUGAUGCUGAUGGCCUUAAUCGUCUCAAAGUUGUAAGUCCCUAGCAUGUCUUUUGAAGGUCCGAUCAAUGAGGUCGACAACUCAAAAACUUGGUUUUUUUUGUUUCGCUAAUUCUACAGGUAACAAUGAUAUUGUACGAGGUUCUAAGGUUGUACCCACCAGUGGUUGAGCUAGGACGUUCCGUUCCAAAAGAAAUAAAACUGGGGAAUUUGUUGUUACCAGCAGGAGCAGAAGUUUCGGUUCCGAUCCUGCAGAUCCACCAUGACAAAGAUCUUUGGGGUGACGACGCACGGGAAUUUAAGCCAGAGCGGUUGGCGGAAGGGGUUUCCAAAGCAACAAAGAGUCAAGUCACGUUUCUGCCAUUCGGAUGGGGUCCUAGGAUCUGUAUUGGCCAAAAUUUUGCCAUGAUGGAAGCCAAAAUGGCGAUGGCUAUGAUUCUCCAACGCUUCUGGUUCGAGCUUUCCCCUUCCUAUGCUCACUCUCCUUACAGCAGGGCAACUCUUCGUCCACAGCAUGGUGCACAGAUAGUUUUACAUAAACUUGGCUCUAAUUGAAUUGUUAUGUAAACAGAUCUUUUUGAAAAUAUAGCGUUUUAGUGUAUCGUCAAAGUCCGGUGUCUGUAAUGGUACAAUUCCGAUGCAUGAAUAGUAAAUUUUAAGAUGUUUGGUUAAGUCCGAAAUAAUAUGCAGAAAUUGAGUGUCUUGAAUGGAUGUAGUAUUUAAUGGUGGACAUAGUUGAGGGAUUAAUGUGGUAAUUAUCGAACAAAUAAUUGCAUAUGGUACAAAGACUUAUAUGGAAAUUAGAGCGGGGGGAGUAGAAAAUGACUACUUUGCUUUGGGCAUCAAUUUAGAAAGAUUUAAAGUACAAAUGUAUUAUUAGUUUAAAGGAUUUGUUUUAAAGAAGGAAUGACAAUUAAACCUCAUGGUUGAUUUGUGGAAGGGAACCGAUGAUGGGAUGAUUAUUCUUAGUGGUAAAAAAAAAACUAUUAAGGAGGUUAUUAUACUUGUUAUCAAUUUCUCAAAAUUUGAAUGGGUUUAAGUCAGAUUAUAUCGAGCUUGUUAGAUGAGUUCACGGACCAAGCUUGCAUGAUAAUGGCUGCUUACAGAAAUGUAUCUAUAGUUUUCUACAAAGUCAUAUGUGAAAUUAUGCAUUGGUACCGCAUAAACAUGUUUUAUGUCUAGAAUAUUAUACGUGUCUAUGUGCAUGGAAUCUACCUAGUAUAUCAUAUCAAUGAACAGUAUCAAUGGUGGACCUCAAAAGUAUUUUUGGGGGAUCAGAAUUAAACUGUAUGUUUUUAUGAAAGUAAAAAUUUAAUUUCACUAUUUUAUAGUCAAUUUCUUUUUAAUUUUUGAAGGAUUAAAUCAAAUUUUUAUAAAUUUUUAGGAGGUUGAAGUACAAUUUUAUCAUUACUAAUUUAAAAUUUUAUAAAUUAUAAAAAAUAUAAAUAAAAAAUUUUAUAUUUUAGGAUAGCCAAGGCUCCUGCCAACUCUAACUCACUGAAUAGUAUAAAUAAAUAAAUACCAUCAUCUAAAAUAUGGGUAAGUGUCCAAAAUAUGAUUUUGGUGAAAAUAUGUAGGGUUGGUCUCAUGGAAGUGUAAAGACAAGAACCCCGCUAAUGUAUGGGAUGUGUAAAGUUGAAUCUAGGGAGCAAAUAGGAGUGAAUCAUUUUGGUAACAUUUGGACAAGAAACAUAAUGAACAAAAUGAAAGGAGAGGAAGCUAGUAAAAGAUUUUUUUGGGUCAUAUAAUUUGUUUGGCAUAUAUUUUUAUAAUUUUUAAAUAUCAUUUUGGAGUUGAAUUAUAACUUUUUUUUAUAUAUUAUCUUAAAAUUUUAUAAAAUUUAAGGAGUUAAAACGUAAUUAUUCCAUGGGUCAGAGCUGCCCUCGCUUUGCAUUUCUUUGAGAUUCAGCCUUAUCUCAAUUGAGGGUUGAGUAGAAAGAUUUGGUGGAGCAAGCAAAGCUAUCAAUCAAGGUUGGAGAAAGCUUAGGAGGUCACAAUGCAUAAUUAUUUAAAUGUAAUUCUAAUAUUUAAAUAAAAUUUAUUAAUAUAAUAUCAGCAAGUGUUAAAUAUAAUGAUCAGAUACCAUUAUAUUUUUAGAAAGAGAAAAUAUGUUUAAACCUUAAAAACGGCGUUACUAAAAAUAAUAAUCACAAAUCUUGAAAUAUAAAAAAUAAAUUUUUUAAUAUAAUUAAAAUUUAAUUUGAAAGCCGAGCUGGAUAAAAUUCUAAUUUUAGAUAAUGGUACCAACAACAAAUCAAUAUUUAAAUUAAAAUUAAUCUAAAUUUAAUAUAAUCAAAUUGGACUCUAAUAUUAAAUUUAAUAUAAUCAAGGUUCAUGAACUUUAUACCCUAUGCUUUACGUAAUUGAAAAAAAAAUCAUUGGACAUAAAAGUCUACGAAAAGUUUCACUAUAUUAAUAAAUAAAUAAAUAAAAAAUAUUGCUACAAGAUUACAACACAAAGUUACAAUAAGAGCUUAUAACUUAACAAAGGCUAUCAAUAAAUAAUCUCAAACAAACUAAAGAGAAAUAUUGAGAGUCCCACCAAAUAGUGAUUGCCUUUAAAAGUUAAAAACUCGAAGUUAUAGUAUCUCAAAUGAAAUUAAACCAUGAACAUUAAAUUUUUCGAGUCUACUAGCUACUGUAAAAAAUUGAGCUCCAACGGACAACAAAUGAACCUUUGAUCGAAGAAAAUACGAAAAUUAGUCUCGGUAAAUCAAGCUGCCAAACUUACUUUUUAUCUUAUCUUUAAUUUGUAAUAAAAUUCAAAAUUAAGGUUUUGUUUGUUUCACUUAGAACAACUUUCAAAAAAUUAAUUUUGGAAAAUGGAUUGAUUUUUCGAAAUAGAUGAUAUUUUAUUGUGUAAAAAUUUUAUUUGUUGUUUGAUGAACUUUUUUUUAAAUCAUUUUUUUAGAAUUAUUUUUAGUGAAACAAAUAUAUCAUAAAUAUAUUUGUUACAAAAUAUUAUAUUAGUAUUUUCUUUUGACAAUUAAAGUUUAUUUUAUGAUAAGACAAUAUUUUAUAAUAAUUAAUAUCAUAUAUACUUAAUAAUAAAUCAUGUCUAAUUAAAAUUUAAGUUAAAUUAAAUAUAUUAAUAAAGCUACAUAUAAUCAUAUUUUAUAUAAUUAAAAUAUUAAUAUAAAUAUUUUUCAAUAAGAUAUUAAAGAAUAUUUAAAAUUUAAAUUUAUUAUUACUAAAAUUAAUUAUUAAAAUAAAAAUGUAAUAUUAAAUAAUUUAUCUAAUGAUAAGUUAUAUUAAUAAUUUAUUAUAUCAUUAAAUAAAAAUAAUUAAAUAUGUAUGUUUAAUAAUAUUAUGUUAUAAUAUUCAUUAUUAAUAUCUUAAUAUUCUUAAACAGCCGUGUCUCAAAGAUGGUUGUGAUGGUGAUGUGAUGAUGCAGCCCCCCUUCUUACAAUUACAAUAAUUUUUAGUGCAAUAAUUAAAGUUGCUGAGUGGUAAAGUAAACUUCUUUUGACUGAGAUGCAUGUAAUAUAUGGAUGUUGAGGUUUUAGACUGCGCCAUCUUUAAAGGGGUUAAAUUAUAUAUUUAUAUAAUAUGAUUAUUGUUUAUGAAUAUAAUAUUAUAGAUAAGUUUUUAUACAUAUUAAUAUGUAUUUUAUUUUAAUGUUAAUAUGUAGUUUUUUAGAUGUGGAUUCACCUAUAUAAUGAUAUGAACUCAUUAUGCAGUCUCAUGAAAUAUGCAAACACAUAUAGUGUAAAUAUAAAGUAUGAACCACCAAAAGUACAGAUCAACACCUAAUUGAAUAAUUGGAUAACAGAUAGGUAAUAAUAAAUAUCAUUCACUAUCCCCUCUUGUUUUAAUUUAUUUUAUUUCCAGUGAGUUAUUUUUUUUAUGAUAAAUUUGCAACAAAUGUUUUUAUCAUUAUUUUGUUGGUAAAUGAUAAUAAGAUUAAAUUUACUUUCGUAAGCUCCUUCAAUUCUUUGGAGUUAGUGGUUUUUUAUUCUGAUCUUUUUUUCUUAUUAAAUUUUUUAUAAUAAAUGUGUUUAUAGAUGAGGUUAGAUUAUAAUUGAAUUAUUUUAUAGCAUUAACAUAAUUUAGAUGGAUUAAAAUUUAUUCUACUAAAAAUAUAAAUUUAAAAUUUUACUUCAAUUUAUCUUAAUUUAUAAAUGAUGAAUUUAAAUUUACUUUUUCCCCAUUAUAUUCAAUUUUCCACAUAAUAUUUGGCCUAGAACAAAAACUAGAACAAUAAAACAAAUAUAAACUAUGCUACAAAGAGUAUACAGCUACAGAAAGCUGAAAUGUUUUCCAAAAAUUAUAUUGUUAACUUUUAAAAAAAAUAUUUUAGCUAUUUAUCAUCAUGAAGAAAAAAGAUACAGUCAUGCACCUGGCCUCAUGCUUCAACACCUCAACCUAGAUUCUCAUCACCUGUAUUUAUCAUCGAUUCAGAUCUUUAUUUUUACUAUAUUCUAGAUCUCCCUAUAAAUAUAUCUUCAAACUUCCUUUGGUUAAGUUCAUUCAUAGAUGGGUGAGUAAACUUGAGCUUCAGCUUUCCACAAACACCUUAAUUUGAAGACACUGUUCUCUCAUGCUAAAAACCACAUGGACGUUUACCAUGUAAUUAGAGAGUUGGUUUCAUUGCUUGUUGUUGGGUUAUUAAUGAUAUGGGGAUGGAGAGCUUUAAACUGGGUAUGGCUGGCUCCAAAGAGGCUCGAAAGGUGCUUGAGACAACAGGGUUUAGCAGGGAAUUCUUACAGGUUCCUUUCUGGUGACAUAAAAGAGCUCUUCACUAUGAGCAGACAAACAAGAGCCAAACCUAUGCCUCUUAGUGAUGAUAUUGGGCCUUAUGUUGUUCCUUUUCAACAUCAAACUGUCAACCAGUAUGGUAUGUUUUUUUGUUUAAUCUGCAAUUUAUGAUAAUUCUUUUUUAUUUAUGUAUGGAAUUUAUUGGGAGGAAAUGCAGGAAAGAAUUCAUUUACGUGGUUUGGUCCAAGACCAAGGGUGAACAUUACGGACCCUGAAAAAAUAAAAGAAAUACUUAACAAAUUUAAUGACUUCCAGAAGGUACGUACCAAUCCACUUGUUCAUUUGCUUGUAAGCGGCCUUGUUAACCUCGAAGGAGACCGAUGGAGCAAGCAUAGAAAAAUCAUAAACCCUGCAUUUCAUCAAGAUAAGUUGAAGGUAUAGAAUAGUGAUGGGUACUCAGACUUUAAAGAAAACAUCAUACUUAAACCUAUGCUUUUCUGACUUAGAAAAUAAUUGGAUGCAGAAUAUGUUGCCAGCAUUUUAUCAAAGUUGUAGUGACAUGUCAAGCAAAUGGGAGAAGAUGGUGUGUACAGAAGGAUACUGUGAGUUAGAUGUGUGGCCUUAUCUCGUAGAUUUGACAAGAGAUGUGAUUUCCCGAUCUGCUUUUGGAAGCAGCUUCGAAGAAGGCAAACGAAUUUUCCAAUUACCAGAGGACCAACUCGUUCUCACAAUCAAAUUAAUACAAACUGUUUACAUUCCAGGAUGGAGGUAACCCUCAACUUAAUUUACUUGAAAAAGGUUGCAAAUGUUGGAAUUCGCUAAAAGCGUGUUUGUUUUCUUGAAGGUUUUUGCCAACAAAGACAAACGGGGAGAUGAAGAUGAAAUACAAAGACAUAAAAGAGUCGCUUAGGGAAAUGAUAAAGAGAAGAGAGAAGGCAAUUAAAGCAAGGGAAGAGAGCAAUGAGGACUUGUUGGACAUACUUGUGGAAUCCAAUAUCAGAGAAAUGGAAGCAAAGAAUAUGGGGAUGAGCAUUGAGGAUGUGAUUGAGGAAUGCAAGCUGUUUUACUUUGCUGGCCAAGGGACCACUUCGGUCUUGCUGGUGUGGACUAUGGUUUUAUUAGCAAGGCAUCCCGAUUGGCAAAGUAAAGCAAGAGACGAGGUUUUGCAUGUUUUGGGUGACAGUAAACCUGAUGCUGAUGGCCUUAAUCGUCUCAAAGUUGUAAGUCCCUAGCAUGUCUUUUGAAGGUCCGAUCAAUGAGGUCGACAACUCAAAAACUUGGUUUCUUUGUUUCGCUAAUUCUACAGGUAACAAUGAUAUUGUACGAGGUUCUAAGGUUGUACCCACCAGUGGUUGAGCUAGGACGUUCCGUUCCAAAAGAAAUAAAACUGGGAAAUUUGUUGUUACCAGCAGGAACAGACGUUUUGGUUCCAAUCCUGCAGAUCCACCAUGACAAAGAUCUUUGGGGCGACGACGCACGGGAAUUUAAGCCAGAGCGGUUCACGGAAGGAGUUUCCAAAGCAACAAAGAGUCAAGUCACGUUUCUGCCAUUCGGAUGGGGUCCUAGGAUCUGCAUUGGCCAAAACUUUGCCAUGAUGGAAGCCAAAAUGGCGAUGGCUAUGAUUCUCCAACGCUUCUGGUUCGAGCUUUCCCCUUCCUAUGCUCACUCUCCUUACAGCAUGGCAACUCUUCGUCCACAGCAUGGUGCACAGAUAAUUUUACAUAAACUUGGCUCUAAUUGAAUUGUUAUGUAAAUAAAUCUUUGUGAAAAUAUAUAGCUUGUUAGUGUAUCGUCAAAGUCCGGUGUCUGUAAUGGUACAAUUCCGAUGCAUGAAUAGUAAAUUUUGAGAUGUUUAGUGAAGUCCGAAAUAAUAUGCAGAAAUUGAGUGUCUUGAAUGGAUGUAGUAUUUAAUGGUGGACAUAGCUGGGGGACUAAUGUGGUAAUUAUCGAACAAAUAAUUGCAUAUGGUACAAAGACUUGUAUGGAAAUUAGAGCAGGGGGAGUAGAAAAUGACUACUUUGCUUUGGGCAUCAAUUUAGAAAGAUUUAAAGUACAAAUGUAUUAUUAGUUUAAGGGAUUUGUUUUAAAGAAGGAAUGACAAUUAAACCUUAUGAUUGAUUUGUGGAAAGGAAUCGAUGAUGGGAUGAUUACUUUUAGUGGUAAAAAAAACUAUUAAGGAGGUUAUUAUAUUUGUUAUCACCGGCCCAAAAUUUAAAUGUAGUCACGUCAAAUUAUAUCGAGCUCGCAAUAUGAGUUCACGGACCAAGUUUGCAUGAUAAUAGGUGUUCACAUAAAGGUAUUUAUAGUUUACUGCAAAGUCACAUGUGAGAUCGUGCAUUGGAACCGAAUAGACAUGUUUUAUGUUUAGAAUAUGAUACGUGUCUAUGUGCAUAGAAUCUACCUAGUAUAUCAUAUCAAUGAAUAGUAUCAAUUGCGGAGCCAAAAUUUUUUUGAGGGGUAAGAAUUAAAUUGUAUAUUUUUACUAAAAUAAAAAUUCAAUUUUACUAUUUUAAUAGUUUAUUUCUUUUUAAUUUUUAAAUGAUUAAAUCAAAUUUUUAUAAAUUUUUAGAGAUCAAAAUAUAAUUUUAUCAUUACUAAUUUAAAAUUUUAUAAAUUAUAAAGUAUUUAAAUAAAAAAAUUUCCUAUUUUAGGGUGACCAAGGUCCUGCCAACUUCCUACUCGAUCACUGAACAGUAUAAAUAAAUACCAUCAUCUAAAAUACUCAAGAAAAACACUCAAGGAUAAAUAGAGAGAUGUUGGGUAAGUGUCCAAAAUAUGAUUUAAGUGAAGAUACGUGUGGUAGGUGUCAUGGAAAUGUAAAGACAAGAAUCCCACUAAUGUAUGGGAUGUGUACACUUGAAUGUAGGGAGCAAAGAGGAGCGAAUCAUUGUGGUAACAUUUGGACAAGAAAUAAUGAACAAAAUGAAAGGAGAGGAAGCUAGUAAAAGAUUUUUUUGGGUCAUAUAAUUUGUUUGGUAUAUAUUUUUUUAAUUUUUAAAUAUCAUUUUGGAGUUGAAUUAUAGUUUCUUUUUAUGUUUUAAAACAUAAUUAUUUUAUUUUUAGAGUGUCAAAGUAGAGGUGAGCAUGGAUCAGACUACUCGGCUCGGCCGGAAGAUCUGUCUGAAAUGUGAGAGGUUUGAGCAAAAAUAUAGGCAAAAAAAAUGGGCUUGGACAAAAAAUAUAAGGCUCGUUUAGAAAAUGGGUCGGGCCUUGAGUAAGACAUUUUUGGCCUCGAGCCUGGCCCGGCUUGAAUUCACUAAAGGACAAAAAAAAUUAAUUUUUUAAAUAUUAUUUUCUUGUUAUUUUCUUCCUAUUUUGCUACCAUUGUACUAUUAUGUUACUACUAUUUUGUUGUUAUUGUUUGGAUAUUGUAUAAACCUUAUUUUAUUGUUAAUUUUGUUAUUAUUUUAAAGACAUUUGUUAAUUUUGUUAUUAUUUUAGAGACAUUUGCUUGUUAAGUUGCAUCUAUCUUAGUGUUAUUUAAGUAUACAUAUUUUUUAAAAUUUAUUUUCAAUUUGUUGGAAAAUAUUUAUUUUAUAUUUUUAGUAUUUUAGAUGUAUUAUAUAUAUUUUAAAAUUAUAUAAAAAUUAAUAUGGACAGGAGGGUCGAGCCCGAGUUUUAGCAUUUUUAUUCGGGUUAGGCUUGGACAAAAUUUUAAGCCCAUUUUUUGGGCCGAGCCUAACAAACAGUCUUGAAUUUUUAGUUGAGCUUGGCCCGGCCCAUGCUCACCUCUAGUUCAAAGCUGCCCUCGCUUUGCAUUUCUUUGAGAUUCAGUUUUAUCUACUGUUGAUUGGCCACUCAAUUGAGGGUUGAAUAGAAAGAUUUGGUGAAGCAAGCUAAGCUAUCAAUCAAGGUUGGAGAAAGCUUAGGAGAUCACAAUGCAUAAUUAUUUAAAUGUAAUUCUAAUAUUUAAAUAAAAUUUAUUAAUUUAGUAUUAACAAGCCUUAAAUGUAAUGAUCAUAUACUAUUACAUUUUCAAGAAGAAAAAAUAUGUUUGAACCUUAAAAACAACAUUAUUAAAAAUAAUAAUCACAAAUCUUAAAAUAUAAAAAAUAUAAUUAAAAAUUAAUUUUAAACUCGAGCUGUAACAGCCCAAAUUUCAGUGGUGUCGGAAUAGUGAUGUGAGAUCACUAAAUACGACAUGUGAGUUUAGAUAUUAGUAAGUAAAAGUUAAGUGUGAUUUUAGAAAUAUUUUUGAAUUAGUGAAAUUGUGAAUUAAAGAAAAUUUCUAGAUAAAAACGAGGUAUCGAGACCUCUAAUUCAUAAACCAAGCCAUAAAUAUUUUUAGAAAUAUUUAUGGAGUGUUACUAAGUUAGUAUUAAAGUUUUGUUAAGAGAUUUUAACAUUUCAGUAAUUAAUUGAAGAAAAAUGACUAAAUUGAAUAAAGUGUAAAACUAUCAAAUAUGAUUAAAUAGCUUAAGAGAUCAUUAAGGAAUGAGUUAAAAGGUAAAUAGACCCAAAUUAGGUGGGUUGGACGGCAUGAGUGUGCAGGAAAUGUAAAAAAAUCAAGUGUGAACAAAGGGCAAAAGUGAAAAUAGGGUAAAAUUUAAUUGUAAAAUAUGAUGUAGUUGGUAAUUUUAGAGAAUUCAUCAUUUUUCUUCAUCUUCAUCAGCUAAAAACACCAUUAGAGAGCUUUUAAGAAGCUGGUUUUAUAUUUUACAGCAUGUAAGUUCAAUUCUUGAUUAUUUAGUUCAAUUCUUGAUUAUUUCUUGUAAUUUUUGUGUUUUUUGAGACUUUUACAAUUGGGUCCUACUAUUUAACUUAUUAGUUUUUGCUUUUAUGAAUGGUUUAGAAAGUUUCCAUAAAUAAGAGCUGAAAUUUUAUGAUGAUUUAUUAUGGAAUUGGGACUGUAAGUUUAUUAUAUGAUGAUUUUAUGAAGAGAUUUUAUAAGAAUUGAUUUUUAGGACCUAAUUGUGAAAGUCGUUGUAAUUAGGGUUUUGUGUUAAAACUUUGAAUUUCAAAGGCUUGGAAGUAGUUAUAAUGUUUAGAUAAAAUGAUAUUUUAGAAUAAUUAGUUCAAUUGAUGAACAAAUUGAGCAAUGACUAAAUUGUAAAAAUUGAAAAGUUUGAGAAAAAAUGUAAUUUCAAAAAUUAAAGGGUAUAAAUUGUGAAGUAGAAUAGAAUUGAAAUAGAUGCUCAUGAGGGAAUGAUUUUAUAAUUACAGAUCAAGAAAACGAAGUGAAUCGUGGAAAGGAGAAAUUGCAAGAAUAUUCCCUGAAAUUUCUACGACUUUUGCAAAUCAGCCCAGUUAAGUUCAUAUGGAAAAAAUUAAUGUUUUGUUAUGAAAAUCUUAUGAUUUGAUAAGGUAUAUUAUUAUAGAUGAAUACUAUCAAAUUGUAAUAAUUAUGAAAUAAUAUUUAAGUAAAAGUACAAAUUAGUUGGAACAAUGGAUUUGAGUGCUUUCGUUCUGUGACCAUGAUGAAUUGAUGGAAAAGGUGUGAUAUGUGCGCCCGUAUAAGACCAUAGCUGGGCUAUGGCAUCGGUGCAAUGUGAUAUGUGCUCCUGUAUAAGACUAUAGUUGGGCUAUGGCAUCGGUGUGAUGUGAUAAUGUGCUUCUGUAAAAGACCAUAUUUGGGAUAUGGCAUCGGUAUGAUAUGUGACCCGUGUAAGACCAUAACUGGGCUAUGGCUUCGGUGUGUGAUAUGUGACUAUGUGCAAGUCUAUGGUUUUACCAUGGCAAUGUGAUAAUGAAGCACUCAAUUCCAUUAUUGUUUCCUAAUUUGACUAUGAAAGUAAAUGAGAAAUAGGCCCAAGAGAUCUAAAAUUGGUGAAUAGUGACAUUGAAAUCAAUCAAAUGAGUUUAUUAAUGAUUUGUGAUUUACAGGAAGGUUUAGUGAAAUUAAAUAUUAUAUGAUUGUGUGCAAUAUUCGGUAAGAUUUAUUUUUCUGUGCUUAUGAGCGUACUAAGCUUCAAUAAGCUUACUUGUGUAUGUUAUUUGUUUUGUAGAUUGACUUAUAUACAUACGGAGGAUUGGAUCUACAUCGAGGAUCACGCUAUCCAGAUUUAUUCUGGUAGAUUUUGUUAAACAACUUUUUGAUUUAUAUGGCAUGUAUAGGGUUGAUUUGAUAAUGUAAUAGUAUGAAUGAUUAAGUAUGUAAAGUAAAUUGAAUGCGAUGGUUGUGUUUGAUAAUGAAAUAUACAUGUUUUGGCUUGAAAUAGUUGAUUUGUUGGACUUUAUUAGUGUAUAAAUGUGAUUUUGUGCAGGAAAAUAUUAAAAGGGUGAGAAAAGAGGCAUUAAAUGACCUAUUUUCGUCCACACGAGUAGGCGCAGGACAUGUGUGACACACAACCUACUAUAUGGGCAUGUGAUAAGAUCGUGUGUCCCUUGCAACUUAAAAAUGAGAAUCAGAAUGUCCAGGUUUAGGCACAUGGCCUAACAUAAGGGCGUGUGGCUUGACCGUGUGACACACCCACGGGCUUUAACAUGGCCGUGUGAUACGGCUGUGUGAAGUCUGCACUUAAAAUGUGAAAUUUAAUUAUCACACGGCCUAGCAACACAGACGUGUGCUCAGGCUGUGUGACUCAAGUUUCUUCUUGAAUGCAAGUCAGAGAGCUCCACGGGCUUGGGACAUAGGCGUGCGUGACCACACAGCCUACCCACACGGGCGUGUCCCUAUCCACACGGGCGUGUGGCCCUGUUUCAUGAUAAUUUUUUUUAAAAUUUUCUAAAAGCUCUGAAAGUUCUUAGUUUGGUCCCGAUCUAUCUCCAACAUAUAUUUUGGGCCUCGUAGGCCCGUAUAAGGGACUUUAAGCAUGUGUUUGAAUAAUAGUUAAUUUGGAAUGAAGUUUUAUGAUCUGGUUUUGGGUGUUUAAUUGUGUUUAAGCCUGGUAAUACCUCGUACCCUGUUCCGGCGUAGAAUACGAGUAAGGGGUGUUACACAAGCUGGAUAAAAUUCUAAUUUUUGAUAAUGAUAGUAAUAACAAAUCAAUAUUUAAAUUAAAAUUAAAAUUAAUUUAGUAUAAUAUAAUUUUUGAGUUUUCGGCAAAGGCACUCAAUGAAUGCUUGGAAAGAAAUAAUGCAACUUAGUGAAAUAAUGCAACUUAGUGAUAGCUUUUGUUGGAGUUAUAUGCUGUUAUUAUAGUUUUAUGUUUUUAUCUUGCAAAAACAACAUAUUGGAGUUUUCGGUGGACUUUUAAGUUUCAUGAUUUUUUCCUAAUACUUUACGUGAAAAAAAUAAUGGUACUUAAAAAUCUAACAAAAGCUUCUCUAUAAUUUUUAUAAAAAAAACAUUGCUACAAUAUUACAACACAAAGUUACAAUAAUAGCUUAUAACUCAACAAAGGCUAUCAAUAAAUAAUCUCAAGCAAGUUAAAGAGAAAUGUUGAGAAUACCACCCAAAUAGUGACCGACUUUAAAAGUUGAAAACCCAAAGCUAUAGUAUCUCAAACGAAAUCAAACCAUAAAUAUUAAAAUUUUUCGAGUCUAUUAGCUACUGUAAAAAAAUUUAGCUCCAACAGACACCAAAUGAGCCUUUGAUUGAAGAAAAUACGAAAACUAGUCUAGGUAAACCAAGCUGCCAAACUUACUUAUCUUAUCUUUAAUCUGCCGUGAAAUUCAAAACUAAGUUUUUGUUUAUUUCACUUAGAACGACUUUCAAAAAAUUAUUUUUGAAAAAUGGAUUGAUUUUUUUGAAAUAGAUGAUAUUUUAUUGUGUUGAAACUUUAUUCGUUGUCUGAAAACUUUUUUUAAAUUAUUUUCUUAGAGUUAUUUUUAGUGAAAUAAACAUAACAUAAAUAUAUUUGUUAUAAAAAAUUAUAUUAGUAUUUUCUUUUGACAAUUAAAAUUUAUUUUAUGAUAAGACAAUAUUUUACAAUAAUUAAUAUCAUAUAUAUACGUAAUAAUAAAUCAUGUUUAAUUAAAAUUUAAUUUAAAUUAAAUAUAUUAAUAAAGCUACAUAUAAUCAUAUUUUAUAUAAUUAAAAUAUUAAUAUAAAUAUUUUUCAAUAAUAUAUUAAAAAUAUUAAAAUUUAAUAUUAUUAUUACUAAAAUUAAUUAUUAAAAUAAAAAAUGUAAUAUUAAAUAAUUUAUUGUAUUAUUAAAUAUAAAUAAUUAAAUAUGUAUUUUAUAAUAUUUUAAUAUUCUUAAACAGCCAUGUUUUAUAGAUGCUGGUGAUCGUGAUGGUGCAGGCCCUUCUUGUUAUAAUUACUAUAAUUUCUAGUGCAAUAAUUGAAGUUGUUGGGUGGUCAAGCAAACCUCUUUUUGACUGAAAUGCAUGUAAUAUACUGGGCGAAUCUAGAGGGGUUCGCGUGGUACCGGUCUCUCUAAAGUUUAAAAUUGUUAUUUAAAUUUUUAAUUUUUUUAAAAAAUUUUAAAUUUAAUAAAAGUAAAAUUAUAUUUUUAGCUCUUAAAAUUAUAAAAAUUAUAUUUAAUCCUUUAAAAGUUAUAAAUAUAUAGACUAAAAAAUUAAAAUUUCAUUCGGCUUAUUAAAAGAUUAUUCUGGCUUUGCUCUUGAUACCGAUGUUGAAUAUUUUAGAGUAUGUUUCUUUAACAUGGUUCAAUUAUAUAUUUAUAUAAUAUAAUUAUUGUUCAUGAAUGUGACAUCGUAACUAAGUUCAUAUGCAUGUCAACAUAUAUAUUAUUUUAGGGUUAAUACGUUUUUUUUAAAUGUGAGUUCACCUAUAUAAUGGUAUGAACCCGUCACGCGGUCUCAUGAAAUAUGCGAAUAUAUGUCGUGCGAACACAAAGUACGAACUACACAGAAUAAGGACUAAGACCCAAUUGGGUAAUCGGAUACGGAUCAGUAAUAAUGAAUUUCAUAACAGCCACCAUCCCCUCAUUUGUUCUAAUUUAUUUUAUUUCCAGUGAGUUAUUGUUUAUGAUAAUUCACAACAAAUGUUUUUGUCAUUAUUUUUUGGUAAAUAAUAAUAAGAUUAAACUCUACUUUCUUAAGCUCCUUCAAUUCUUUGGACGUUGGUGGUUUUUUAUUCUAAUCUUAUUUUCUUAUUAAUUUCUUUUUUAUAAUAAAUGUGUUUAUAGAUUAAAUUGGAUUAUAAUUGAGUCAUUGUAUGGAAUUAACAUAAUUCAUAUCGAUUAAAAUUUAUUCGACUGGAAAUACAAAUUUAAAAUUUUACUUCAAUUUAUCUUAAUUUAUAAAUGAUGAAUUUAAAUUUAUUUUUUUCUCUCAUUAUAUUCAGUUUUCCGGAUAAGAUUUGGCCCAGAACAAAAACUAUAACAAUAAAACAAAUAUAUAUGUUUUCCAAAAAUUAAAUUGUUAACUUUUAAAAAAAUAUUUUUAGCUAUUUCUCAUCAUUGAGAAUAAAAAUAAGGUCACCUCGCCUCAUGCUUCAACAACUCAACCUAGAUUCUCAUCACCUGUAUUUAUCAUCGAUUCAGAUUUUUAUUUUUACUAUAUUCAAGAACUACCUAUAAAUCUAUCUUCAAACUUCCUCUGGUUAAGUUCAUUCAUAGAUAGGUGAGUAAACUUGAGCUUCAGCUUCAACAAACACCAUAGUUUGAAGACACAAUUCUCUCAUACUAAAAAUAUGGAAGUUUACCAUGUAAUUAGAGAUUUGGUCUCAUUGCUUGUUGUUGGGUUAUUAAUGAUAUGGGGAUGGAGAACUUUAAACUGGGUAUGGUUGGCCCCAAAGAGGCUCGAAAGGUGCUUGAGACAACAGGGUUUUGCAGGGAAUACUUACAGGUUCCUUUCCGGUGACAUAAAACAGCUCUCAACUAUGGGCAGACAAACAAAAGCCAAACCUAUGCCUCUUAGUGAUGAUAUUGGGCCUUAUUGUUGGAGUUUCAACACACUUUAACCGGGUAAAGUAAGAAUUUUAAACAGAGCACUAGCAGCAACGUAUUAUACCCGGAUAAAAUAUGAAGGAAAAAUGCUUGGAGUUCAAGCUUUUAGCUACUGUCAAGAAUGAAGAACAGAACUUAGAAGUUUUUAGAAGGCAAAAAAAGAUGGAGCAUAUGGAAGAAAAUCUGAUGAUUUCAUUCAUUGAAACAUUGGCUUAAAGCCAUUACAUAUACCAGUCAUUUGGCUGGUCAAAAGAUUAACAAAUCCUUUACCUAAACACUACCUAACUCCACUAAUUACAUAGGGACUAGGUGAUUUUACUUGCAAACAUAAACAAAGAUGGUGAUCAGCUCUAUCACCAUCAAAUUACAUCAAACAUAAACUAAACUAAGUUCAAAAUGAACUAGAUUACAAAAGCAUAGUUAAACGGUAACAAAAUGUAACUGAGACGGAAAAGAAGUAUCAACCCCUUCAGUUGCAUGUAUUUUACUCGGGUAACUUGUGUGUAUGAAUUCUUGCACAUACUUUACCCGGAUAACAUAAGUGCAUUAAUUUUCACGUGCUUGAAUCUGCAUGGGCUGCAUGGGAACUAACUUCAACACUUAUGUUGCUCCUUUUCUUCAUCAAAUUGUCAACCAGUAUGGUUUGUUUUUUAUUUAUUUAUUUAAUCUUCAAUUUAUGAUAAUUCUUUGUUAUUUAUGUAUGGAAUUUAUUGGGAGGAAAUGCAGGAAAGAAUUCAUUUACGUGGUUUGGUCCAAGACCAAGGGUGAACAUUACUGACCCUGAAAAAAUAAGAGAAAUACUUAAACAAAUUUAAUGACUUCCAGAAGGUACAUACCAAUCCACUGCUUAAUUUGCUUGUAAGCGGCCUUGUUAACCUCGAAGGAGACCGAUGGAGCAAGCGUAGAAAAAUCAUAAACCCUGCAUUUCAUCAAGAUAAGUUGAAGGUAUAGAAUAGUGAUGGGUACUCAAGACUUUACAGAAAACAUCAUACUUAAACCUAUGCUUUUCUGAUUUAGAAAUAAUUGGGUGCAGAAUAUGUUGCCAGCAUUUUAUCAAAGUUGUAGUGACAUGUUAAGCAAAUGGGAGAAGAUGGUGUGUACAGAAGGAUACAGUGAGUUAGAUGUGUGGCCUUAUCUCGUAGAUUUGACAAGGGAUGUGAUUUCCCGAUCUGCUUUUGGAAGCAGCUUCGAAGAAGGCAAGCGAAUUUUCCAAUUACUAGGCGACCAACUCGUUCUCAGAAUCAAAUUAAUACAGAUUGUUUACAUUCCAGGAUGGAGGUAACCCUCAACUUAAUUUACUUGAAAAAGGUUGCAAAUGUUGGAAUUCGCUAAAAUCGUGUUUGUUUUCUUGAAGGUUUUUGCCAACAAAGACAAACAGGUAGAUGAAGAUGAAACAGAGACACAUAAAAGAGUCGCUUAGGGAAAUGAUAAAGAGAAGAGAGAAGGCAAUUAAAGCAAGGGAAGAGAGCAAUGAGGACUUGUUGGACAUACUUGUGGAAUCCAAUAUCAGAGAAAUGGAAGCAAAGAAUAUGGGGAUGAGCAUUGAGGACGUGAUUGAGGAAUGCAAGCUGUUUUACUUUGCUGGCCAAGAGACCACUUCAGUCUUACUGGUGUGGACUAUGGUUUUAUUAGCAAGGUAUGCCGAUUGGCAAAGUAAAGCAAGAGAGGAGGUUUUGCAUGUUUUGGGUGACAGUAAACCUGAUGUUGAUGGCCUUAAUCGUCUCAAAGUUGUAAGUCCCUAGCAUGUCUUUUGAAGGUCCGAUCAAUGAGGUCGACAACUCAAAAACUUGGUUUCUUUUUUCGCUAAUUCUACAGGUAACAAUGAUAUUGUACGAGGUUCUAAGGCUGUACCCAUCAGCGACUGAGCUAGGACGUUCCGUUCCAGAAGAAAUAAAACUGGGAAAUUUGUUGUUGCCAGCAGGAACAGAAGUUUCGGUUCCUAUCCUGCUGAUCCACCAUGACAAAGAUCUUUGGGGCGACGACGCACGGGAAUUUAAGCCAGAGCGGUUCGCGGAAGGGGUUUCCAAAGCAACAAAGAGUCAAGUCACGUUUCUGCCAUUCGGAUGGGGUCCUAGGAUUUGCAUUGGCCAAAAUUUUGCUAUGAUGGAAGCCAAAAUGGCAGUGGCUAUGAUUCUCCAACACUUCUGGUUCGAGCUUUCCCCUUCCUAUGCUCACACUCCUUGCAGCAUGGUAACGCUUCGUCCACAGCAUGGUGCACAGAUAAUUUUACAUAAACUUGGCUGUAAUUGAAUAGUUAUGUAAACAAAUUUUUGUGAAAAUAUAGCGUUUUAGUGUAUCGUCAAAGUCCGGUGUCUGUAAUGGUACAAUUCCGAUGCAUGAAUAGUAAAUUUUGAGAUGUUUGGUGAAGUCCGAAAUAAUAUGCAGAAAUUGAGUGUCUUGAAUGGAUGUAGUAUUUAAUGGUGGACAUAGUUGAGGGACUAAUGUGGUAAUUAUCAAACAAAUAAUUGCAUAUGGUACAAAGACUUGUAUGGAAAUUAGAGCUGGGGGAGUAGAAAAUGACUACUUUGCUUUGGGCAUCAAUUUAGAAAGAUUUAAAGUACAAAUGUAUUAUUAGUUUAAGGGAUUUGUUUUAAAGAAGGAAUGACAAUUAAACCUUAUGGUUGAUUUGUGGGAGGGAACCGAUGAUGGGAUAAUUACUCUUAGUGGUAAAAAAAAAAAACUAUUAAGGAGGAUAUUAUACUUGUUAUCACCGGCCAAAAUUCAAAUGGGUUUGGGUUGAAUUAUAUUGAGCUCGCAAGAUGAGUUCAUGGACCAAGCUUGCAUGAUAAUGGGUGUUCACAGAAAGGUAUCUAUAGUUUCCUGUAAAGUCACAUGUGAGAUCGUAUAUUGGGACCGCAUAAACAUGUUUUAUGUUUAGAAUAUGAUAUGUAUCUAUGUGCAUGGAAUCUACCUAGUAUAUUAUAUCAAUGAAUAGUAUCAAUUGCGGAGCCAAAAUUUUUUUUGAGAGGUCAGAAUUAAAUUGCAUAUUUUUACGAAAAUAAAAAUUCAAUUUCACUAUUUUAAUAGUUUAUUUCUUUUUAAUUUUUAAAUGAUUAAAUUAAAUUUUUAUAAAUUUUUAGGAGGUUGAAGUACAAUUAUAUCAUUACUAAUUUAAAAUUUUAUAAAUUAUAAAGGACUUAAAUGAAAAUUUUCCUAUUUUAAAGUGACUAUAAAUAAAUAAAUACCACCAUCUAAAAGACUUAAGAAAAACACUCAACAAUUGUUGAUAAAUAGAGAGAUGUUGGGUAAAUGUCCAAAAUAUGAUUUAAGUGAAGAUACGUGGGGUAGGCGUCAUGGAAAUGUAAAGACAAGAAUCCCACUAAUGUAUGGGAUGUGUACACUUGAAUGUAGGGAGCAAAGAGGAGCGAAUCAUUGUGGUAACAUUUGGACAAGAAACAUAAUGAACAAAAUGAAAGGAGAGGAAGCUAGUAAAAGAUUUUUUUGGGUCAUAUAAUUUGUUUGGUAUAUAUUUUUUUAAUUUUUAAAUAUCAUUUUAGAGUUGAAUUAUAUUUUCUUUUUAUGUUUUAAAACAUAAUUAUUCUAUUUUUAGAGGGUCAAAGUAGAGGUGAGCAUUGGUCGGGCUAUCCGGCCCGGCCUAAAGAUCUACUAGAAAUGUGAGAGGUUUGAAUAAAAAUAUAGGCCCGAAAAAUGGGUUUGGACAAAAAAUAUAAGGUUCGUUUAGAAAACGGGCCGAGCCUUGAGUAAGGCAUUUUUGACCUCGGGCCUAGCCCUGCCUGAAUUCACUAAAAGACAAAAAAAAUUAAUUUUUUAAUAUUAUUUUCUUGUUAUUUUCUCCCUAUUUUGCUAUCAUUUUACUAUUAUUUUGCUACUAUUUUGUUGUUAUUAUUUGGAUAUUAUAUAAAACUUAUUUUAUUGUUAAUUUUGUUAUUAUUUUAGAGACAUUUACUUGUUAAGUUGCAUCUAUCUUAGUGUUAUUUAAGUAUACAUAUUUUUUAAAAUUUAUUUUCAAUUUGUUGAGAAAUAUUUAUUUUGAUAUUUUGAGUAUUUUGGAUGUAUUAUAUAUAUUUUAAAAUUAUAUAAAAAUUAAUAUGGGCAGGCUGGGUCGAGUCCGAGUUUUAGCAUCUUUAUUUGGGUUGGGUUUGGACAAAAUUUUAAGCCCAUUUUUCAGGCUGAGCCUAACAAAUGAUUCUAAAUUUUUAGUUGAGCUCUCAGCCCGGCCUAUGCUCAUAUCUAGUUCAGAGCUGCCCUCACUUUGUAUUUCUUUGAAAUUCAGUCUUAUCUACUGUUGAUUGCCUACUCAAUUGAGGGUUGAGUAGAAAAAUUUGGCGAAGCAAGCAAAGCUAUCAAUCAAGGUUGGAGAAAGCUUAGGAGGUCACAAUGCAUAAUUAUUUAAAUGUAAUUCUAAUAUUUAAAUCAAAUUUAUUAAUAUAGUAUUAACAAGCCUUAAAUGUAAUGAUCAUAUACUAUUACAUUUUCAGGAAGAGAAAAUAUGUUUAAACUUUAAAAAUAACGUAAUUAAAAAUGAUAAUCAUAAAUCUUAAAACAUAAAAAAUAUAAUUAAAAAUUAAUUUUAAACCCUGGAUAAAAUUCUAGUUUUAGAUAAUGAUACUAAUAACAAAUCAAUAUUUAAAUUAAAAUUAAUAUUAAUUUAAUAUAAUUUUUGAGUCUUCAGCAAAGGCACUCAAUGAAUGCUUGGAAAGAAAUAAUGCAACUUGGUGAUAACUUUGUUGGAGUUAUAUGGUCUUAUUAUAGUUUUAUGUUUUUAUGUUGCAGAAAAAACAUAUUGGAAUUUUUCGUGGACUUUCAAGUUUCAUGAUCUUUUCUUAAUACUUUAUGUGAAAAAAAAUAAUGGGAUUUAAAAAUCUAUCAAAAAGCUUCUGUUGUAGGCCAAUUUUGGCUCAAAUACAACCCAAUUAUUCAAACCCCUUAAAACCCAAUACAAAAUAGCCCAACUACUAACCCUAGCCCAGACCAAUAAUAAAAAAUAGCAAAGAAAAAAAGAACCCUGGCCACCCCGUGAUGUUUGCCACCCCACGCCUCUGCAGCACCAUUCCCAGGCAUCACACACUCUCACCAACUCCUCCAUACCCUGCAAAAUGAGACAAACACCAAGACAGAAGCUGACAACACAAGAGCAGUAGCAAGAGGCUUAAAAUAUCGUUUUGAAAUGGCUAUAAGAGGGAGAUCCGAUUGUAAAAAUUGGGGGGGAUUCAAUAUGCAAAAAUUGUAUCACGAAUUUUGGCAAAUCAAAAGCAAAAAAAAAGCACAUAAAAAAGGUUGAAUUUUAUUUCCUUUUUUUGUUUCUUUAUUUUUUAUUUUCCUUUUUUUCUUCAAAAAAUCAGUUUUAAAACAAAAAAAAUAAAAAAAAGAAGAAAGGGGAUUUACCUGAACUUCGGAGCCGCGACAUCGGAGCCCUACUCCGUCGUUGAAAUCGGCUCUCAAAAAGGAAAAUGGGGGUCUCUCCCUUCAGAUUUUCGGGCUAAGAAAAUAGGGCCUUCAGGCGCCCCCAAAAUCGGGGUCAAAAGCCCCCAUUCAAGCAACCCCGACCACCACUUACGGUGGCUCCAUGGCGGCGGCAAUGAUGGGUAUAAACCCUAGCAAAAGGGGAAAUGAGGGAGAGAGAGCCAAGAAACUCUCUGUUUUUUUUGCUUUUCAAAAUGGGGGCUGGAAACACAAAAUAAAAAAAAGGGUUUUAAGUUAUUUGAAAAAAAAGGGCUGCACUUUAACUCGUUUAACAGGCCUAAUAUGUGCCUUUUAAUUGAAAGUGAGGGAAUUAUACAUUAGGUCCUUCUCAUUUGCGCAAACAUUCAAUCAUGCCACAUUUAUUUCACUUCCUUUUUAAUUUGGCUUUAAAACUUACGCAUAUUAGCAAUUCGGUCCCAUUUCUUUUUAUUUUAUUAUUUUCACCCCGAAUUUCUGUCUAGAGUUCAAAUUAGCCCCUUUUCGUCCUUUUCUUUUCUUUUAUAUUUUAUUUUAUUAUUUGAUAUUAUGGUAUUAUAAUUGUAUUUUAUUUUCUUGCAUAUUAUUUGCUAUUAUUAUUAUCACCUUCAUUCCAUUAUUAUUAUUGCUAUUGCUAAGUUUUUUGUUGUUUAUAUUUUUAUUUAUAUUAUUAGUAUAUUGUUAUUCCUUAGUUUAUUAUUAUUAUAUCAUUUUUUAUGUAUUUAUCUACAUUAUUAUUAUUAUUAUUAUUUUUGAACACAUCAUGCAUUUUAAAUUAUUACCAAUUUUAAAUAUUUUAUAUAUAUCAUUAUGUAGUAUUUAUUUUUAGAUUCUUAUACGUAUCUUGGUAUUUUAGAUUAUUACAUGUAUACCUAUAUAUAUAUAUCUUUUAUUUUAAACAUUUUUCUAUGCAUUAUCUUACAUCAAAUUUCUUUUUUUUCACGUUAUUCUUUCUAAAUAUUUUAUAUGUCAUUUGAACUAAAUUCUAUUUUUAAAAUUUUUAUAUAUUACUUAGUUACAUUAUUUUAUAUGAAAAUUAUUUUGAACUCUUUUAUUAUUUAUUGUAAACCUUUAUUAUUGUUAAUUUUAAGACUAUAUAGGUAUUUAUUAAAAAAAAUUCAUAAAUAUUAUUUUGGAUUUAUAUAUAUUUUUAUUUUUGAACAAUAUUUAUUUUAAAAUUUUCUUUUACACAUUUUAAGCUCUUUGGUAAAUUAUUUUAAAGUGUUCUUGUUAUUUUUUUUUGUAUUAUUCAUCUUAUUUCAUUUAACAUAUUGUUUAUUUGAAGUUUGCUUUAUAUAGGUUACUUUAUUUUAUGCCCAAAAUAUUAUAUAUAUUAAUUAUUAUAAAUUGUUUUAUAUUCUUUACUUUAAAUUGCCUUUUCAUUUUAAAAUUGUUUUAUGUAUUAUUUAUUUAAAACUGUCUUAUUAUUUUGAAUUGUUUUAUGCCCCAUUUUUUAGAGCUCAAUUUAUUUAUUUUUAUUUAUCACCCAUUAUACGUUAUUUCCUUAUACUAUUACAUAUUUUAUACUUAUAUAUACAUAUAUAUGUGUAUGCAUCAUUUGAUCUAAAAUUUUUGUAAAUAAAUGUAUCAUCUUUCCUUAAAUCAUUUUAUAUAUUUUAAAUAUCCAUUUUUCACUUUAUUUACUUUUAAAACUUAGUUAUGAUCAUGUUAAAUAGUUUUUAUAUCUUAUUCGUUUUAAUUGGCUUUAUACUAUAUAUUUUUAUAUUAUCACAUAUGUUAUUUCAUUUAUUUGUUUAUUUAUUUUUUUUCUCCUUGAUUACUAAUAUUAACAUUUAAAUAAUGCAUGUUGAGUGAUUAUUGUUAUUGCGUGUACCUUAAUUCAUUCACUUGCGUAUUUAUAUUUGUCGUACAUUUGUGAUGUUAUUCUUGUAUUAUUAUUUCAUGGUCUAUACUCCCUUUCAUUUUGUUUCGUUUAAAUCAUAUCGUGCAUCUACCUCAAAUGUAUUUGUCCAAACAUGGACCGUUUUAAUCCAAACAAAUGAUACACGUCGCUUAAGUAUCACACUUGCUAUGGUUUUUAAAAACAAAAAUUUCAAAAUGAGGCAAUGUUUCGCGUUUUAGAACAUCGAGAAAUUGUGCCCUAACUUAUGGGGUUUCGGUUUUCUCGUUGGUUCUAAAUGUCAAAGUAUCCUUUUGAGUUUUAAAAUACACGAAAUUUUAAUUAAAAUUAAAGAUACACCUAUGCUCGAGAAUUCAUGGUAUGGUGUCCUAACUUACGGGAUGUGAUGCUCCGAUAUCUUGAGAUAAGGAAAUCUUUAAACAAAUUGUUUUGAGCUAAUUCAAAAAUUUUAAAAUUGAUAUUGAUAGAAAAGAUCAUAUUUCAAAUUCAUUCCCGAUUUUUGAUUUUCGACAUUAAGACACUAACUAAUCAAUUCGGUACUAAUUUUUGGGCGUGUCGGGGGCGCUAAUCCUUCCUCGCACAUAACCGACUCCCAAAUUUGUUCUCUUGGAAUUCGUAGACCAAAAUGCCGUUUUACUAAACUAAAAUUGUUAAAACAAAGGUGAUCCGAUCACACCAAAUAAAGAUCGGUGGCGACUUUCGUUUUAAUUUUUGUUUCCAAACAAAGUCGACCCCAUCCUUCAAAAAUCGGUUUCGACAGCUUCACUAUAAUAAUAAUAAUAAUAAUAAAUUGUUACAAUAUUACAACACAAAGUUACAAUAAGAGUUUAUAACUCAACAAAGGCUAUUAAUAAAUAAUCUCACACAAGCUAAAGAAAAAUGUUGAGAAUACCACUCAAAUAGUGACUGACUUUAAAAGUUGAAAACCCGAAGCUAUAGUAUCUCAAACGAAAUCAAACCAUAAACAUUAAAAUUUUUCGAGUCUACCAGCUACUGUAAAAAAUUCAGCUCCAACAGACACCAAAUGAGCCUUUGAUCGAAGAAAAUAUGAAAAUUAGUUUGGGUAUACCAAGCUGCCAAACUUACUUAUCUUAUCUUUAAUUUACAGUGAAAUUCAAAACUAAAGUUUUUGUUUAUUUCACUUAAAAUAACUUUCAAAAAAUUAUUUUUGAAAAAUGGAUUGGUUUUUCGAAAUAGAUGAUAUUUUAUUGUGUUAGAAUAUUAUUCGUUGUUUGAAAACUUUUUUUAAAUCAUUUUCUUAGAGUUAUUUUUAGUGAAACAAACAUAACAUAAAUAUAUUUGUUACAAAAAAUUAUAUUAGUAUUUUCUUUUGACAAUUAAAAUUUAUUUUAUGAUAAGACAAUAUUUUAUAAUAGUUAAUAUCAUAUAUAUAUACACGUAAUAAUAAAUUAUGUUUAAUUAAAAAUUAAUUUAAAUUAAAUAUAUUAAUAAAGCUACAUAUAAUCAUAUUUUAUAUAAUUAAAAUAUUAAUAUAAAUAUUUUUUAAUAAUAUAUUAAAAAUAUUAAAAAUUUAAAAUUAUUAUUACUAAAAUUAAUUAUUAAAAUAAAAAAUGUAAUAUUAAAUAAUUUAUUCAAUGAUAAGUACUUAUAUUAAUAAUUUAUCGUAUUAUUAAAUAUAAAUAAUUAAAUAUGUAUGUUUAAUCAUAUUACGUUAUAAUAUUUUAAUAUUCUUAAAACAGUUUUAAAGAUGCUGGUGAUGGUGAUGCUGCAGGCCCUUCUUGUUAAUUUUUAGUGCAAUAAUUGAAGUUGUAGGGUGUGGUCAAGCAAACCUCUUUUGACUGAAAUGCAUGUGAUAUACCGGUAAGUGGCGUAUCUAGAGGGGGACUGGCGUUGCCCUCGCCCCCUCCUCCCCACCCCCCCCCCCCCCCCAAAAAAAAUUGAAAUUGUUAUUUAAAUUUUUUCAAAAAUUUUAAAUUAAUAAAAGUAACAUUAUACUUUAUCCUCUAAAAUUAUAAAAAUUCUAUUUAAUCCUUUAAAAAUUAUAAAUAUAUAGACUAUAAAAAAUUAAAAUUUCAUUCGACCCCCCUAAAAUAUUGUUCUGGCUUCGCCCUUGAUACCGAUGUUGAAUAUUUUAGAGUAUAUGUCUUCUUUAACAAGGUUAAAUUAUAUAUUUGUAUAAUAUAGUUAUUGUUCAUGGACGUGACAUCGUAACUAGGUUCUUAUGCAUGUUAACAUAUAUCCUAUUUUAGGGUUAACAUGUAUUUUUUAAAUGUGAAUUCAUCUGUAUAAUGAUAUGAACCCAUCACGCGAUCUCAUAAAAUAUGCGAAUAUAUGUCAUGCGAACACAAAAUACAAACCACACACAAUACAUAUCAAGACCCAAUUGUGUAAUUGGAUACGGAUCAGUAAUAAUGAAUUUUCAUAACAGCCACCAUCCCCUCUUUUUUUUCUAAUUUAUUUUAUUUCCAGUGAGUUAUUAUUUAUGAUAAUUCACAACAAAUGUUUUUGUCAUUAUUUUGUUGGUAAAUAAUAAUAAGAUUAAACUUUACUUUCUUAAGCUCCUUCAAUUCUUUGGACGUUGGUGGUUUUUAUUCUAAUCUUAUUUUCUUAUUAAUUUCUUUUUUAUACAUGUAUGGUAUUAACAUUAUAUCAAUUAAAAUUUAUUCGACUGAAAAUAUAAAUUUAAAAUUGUACUUCAAUUUAUCUUAAUUUAUAAAUGAUGAAUUUAAAUUUAUUUUUUUCCUCUCAUUAUAUUUUUCCGGAUAAUAUUUGGCCCUAGAACAAAAACUAAAACAAUAAAACAAAUAUAUAUGUUUUCCAAAAAUUAAAUUGUCAACUUUAAAAAUAUAUAUUUUUAGCUAUUUAUCAUCAUAGAGAAAAAAAAAAAAAAGGUCACCUAGCCUCAUGCUUCAACACCUCAACCUAGAUUCUCAUCACCUGUAUUUAUCAUUGAUUCAGAUUUUUAUUUUUACUAUAUUCAAGAACUACCUAUAACUAUAUCUUCAAACUUCCUCUGGUUAAGUUCAUUCAUAGAUAGGUGAGUAAACUUGAGCUUCAGCUUCAACAAACACCAUAGUUUGAAGACACAAUUCUCUCAUACUAAAAAUAUGGAAGUUUACCAUGUAAUUAGAGAUUUGGUCUCAUUGCUUGUUGUUGGGUUAUUAAUGAUAUGGGGAUGGAGAGCUUUAAACUGGGUAUGGUUGGCCCCAAAGAGGCUCGAACGGUGCUUGAGACAACAGGGUUUUGCAGGGAAUCCUUACAGGUUCCUUUCUGGUGACAUAAAAGAGCUCUCAACUAUGAGCAGACAAACAAGAGCCAAACCUAUGCCUCUUAGUGAUGAUAUUGGGCCUUAUGUUGCUCCUUUUCUUCAUCAAACUGUCAACCAGUAUGGUAUGUUUUUUAUUAUUUAAUCUUCAAUUUAUGAUAAUUCUUUGUUAUUUAUGUAUGGAAUUUAUUGGGAGGAAAUGCAGGAAAGAAUUCAUUUACGUGGAUUGGUCCAAGACAAAGGGUGAACAUUAUGGACCCUGAAAAACUAAGAGAAAUAUUUACCAAAUUUAAUGACUUCCAGAAGAUACGUACCAAUCCACUGCUUACUUUGCUUGUAAGCGGCCUUGUUAACCUCGAAGGAGACCGAUGGAGCAAGCAUAGAAAAAUCAUAAACCCUUCAUUUCAUCAAGAUAAGUUGAAGGUAUAGAAUAGUUAUGGGUACUCAGACUUUACAGAAAAUAUCAUACUUAAACCUAUGCAUUUCUGAUUUAGAAAUGAUUGGGUGCAGAAUAUGUUGCCAGCAUUUUAUCAAAGUUGUAGUGACAUGUUAAGCAAAUGGGAGAAGAUGGUGUGUACAGAAGGAUACAGUGAGUUAGAUGUGUGGCCUUAUCUCGUAGAUUUGACAAGAGAUGUGCUUUCCCGAUCUGCUUUUGGAAGCAGCUUCGAAGAAGGCAGACGAAUUUUCCAAUUACUAGACGACCAACUCGUUCUCAGAAUCAAAUUACUACAAACUGUUUACAUUCCAGGAUGGAGGUAACCCUCAACUUAAUUUACUUGAAAAAGGUUGCAAAUAUUGGAAUUGGCUAAAUUCGUGUUCGUUUUCUUGAAGGUUUUUUCCCACAAAGACAAACAGGGAGGUGAAGAUGAAACACAAAGACAUAAAAGAGUUGCUUAGGGAAAUGAUAAACAGAAGAGAGAAGGCAAUUAAAGCAGGGGAAAAGAGCAAUGAGGACUUGUUGGACAUACUUGUGGAAUCCAAUAUCAGAGAAAUGGAAGCAAAGAAUAUGAGGAU